UUUAUACUACUUCAGAUACCUCGCAGGUAAGCUUGGAACAGAAGAAAUCAAAGAAGUGCGAUAUUAAGGAGUUUCAUUACCAUCAUCCUUUUAUGGAUAAAAUGCUCAAGUGCUUAAUCAAUUAUGCUUUCUGGUAUUUUCUGUAUAAUUGCUUUGAUUUUCACCAAAUUUUUAUUGAUCCUGGUUAAUUCAUUGUUUACAUUAAGUAGUUAGUUAGUAGGAUUUUUUUUAUUUUGUUUUUUUUUAUUUUCUUAUUUAUAUUUCUUGUAACGUGUUAUUUUUAAUUGUCAUUUAGUUUUAAGCUUUCCCAGCCCAUCCAGGUGUGUUCUAUCCAAUUUUCUUUUUUAUUAUUUAUGUUUUUAUUUUUAUUUUUUUAUUUUAUUUUUCAUCUUUUUGCAUGCAUAUCUUUUGUUUUUGAAACAUUGAGGACAAUGUUCCGAAUAAGUUUGGGGGUGGGAAUAGUGUGUUCUUUGUUUGGUUGUUAUUAAAAAAAUAAAAUAAAAUAAAAAAAUUUCAAAAAUUCAAAAAUUCAAAAAAUGUUUUUUUGUUUUUAUGUGAAAAGCCAAUGAUAAAAACUUGAUUGAUAAUGAAUAUGGUUUUUAGAAAGGGUUGAAUAUUGUCUUAGUUUAUACUUGAUUCUUGUGAGUUCCUCUUGAUUGAGAUUCUUUACACAUCAUGAGCACUAAUAUCAGUUCUUUCAUGAUUUUCACUUGAAAUUUGAGAUUGACACAGCCUGAGUUGAGAAUUUUAGAUAGAGUAAAUGACUGUUUGUCUUGAUUCUUAUCUCCACAAUACAAAAUAGCAUACGCAGGUGCCAGAGUCAGAAAUAACCACCUAUAACUCUUAAGAGUGAAGCUAUCCUUGAGUAAUUUGGGCCUAUGUACCACAAGUAUGUAGAGGAUAAUCUACCAUGAGAAGAAGGCUACCUUAAGGGGUAGAGUGAAAGCUCCUAACUAUGGUUAAAAAGAAAAAAGAAAAAAAAAAUCAAGUGCAUGUGCUGAAAAAAAAAAUCAAAAGAAAAUGCACAUAAAAGCAUGUGAAAAAAAAAAUGGAGAUUAAGAUGAUAAGAUCUGUUUGACCUACUCUUUUCUUUGUUUGAGGCGAAGGCUGUUGAUAUUGAAGAUUUUGGGAAUGAAUUUGAUUGAAUUGAUUUCACACACAUACUACAAGAAUCGAAAGAGAGAUGGGAUUGAUUAUUGAAUUAAAGUUAGAACUUUGCCAAUAUUUGAAAUUUUCUUUGAGCUAUAUAAUUUUUGCAAUCUUUAAGGCUAUUUUUCAUGUUUUAUUUAAAGUUUUUUGUUCUUUUAAUUUAAUUUAAUUUUUUUAAAAUGAUGUUUGUGGGUAUCAUCACUGAAGCCCUCACGAGACUAUAACUCGUCCACUGAGGCCGCCUAGGGGUUUAAAGGUUUGUUGCAUACAAUAAAUGCAAUCGCAAUCACCUACGAAAGUGGUUUAGUUAGGAUUUACUUUUUGUUUUGUUAGUUUUAUUUUUGUUUUAAGUUUUAGUUUUGCUCGAGGACUAGCAAAAUCUAAGUUUGAGGGUAUUUAAUGAGCAUAAUUUAUAUACAUAUUUUACUGUUUAUUAUCUAAUUACUAGUUAUUUUUAUUUGUUAUUUUUUAAUUAAUUGAAUUAUUUUAUUGCAUAGGAAAUUAAUUGGAGAUUGGAAAUAAAAAGUGCAAAAAGAAUAACAAUUUGGGAGAAUAUUAAUUGAAGCCGUGACAGAGUUAAGAGCCAAGAGCAAUUUGCAUUGAAUUUCAAUUCUCCAAUUGAGUUGCACGUGCAUGGCAUUGCAAAAGUGGAAAGAAAUUUAAAUGGGGCCCGCACUUGACUUUCAAAAGUAGAAUUAAUGGCUUAUUGUUGCGUUAUUAUGGAAGCUUUGUUUUAUAAUUGGAAAAGGAUUUUAAUUAGUAGACAAAGAGGAUUCGGUGGCUAAGCAUUAUAAAAAGAGAGUUUUGGCUUUUGAAUGGGGGGGCCGCCAGAGGACAAAAACAAAGGUGCAGACGCAAGGUUGGAAGAGAGCAUUCGGCAGCAGCAGCAAUUCGCCUUCCAUGACUGAUUUUAUUUCUUGUGUUGCUCUCAAUUUAAGUAUGUCUAGUUAAUUUUUUUAUACUGAAGUUAAGGAUGAAACCCUAUUCAAUGAAAUAAUUAUUUUUUUAAUUCCCUAUAUAUGUUCUUUAAUAAUUAUAAUUUUUAUUUCACAUGAUUAAUUAGAUGUUAUUAAAAUUUUUUCAUCAAUUAUUAUUAAAAUCUUUUCAUUAAUUCUGUCAUACAUUAUUGAUUGUUAGGAUUAAUAUUUGAUUAAAUCUAUACUUGGAUUUAUAAAGUUUAUACAUGAUUAUCUUUGAUUCUAUGUCUUUUAUUAAAUUGUUUACAUGGAGUGCUUAGGAAAUUUUGACUCUUUGUUAUUCAAUAUGUUUACAUGAGCUUCUUAGAAGUCAUACUAUUAAGCAGAAAAAGAACCUACACAAAAUUAAUUUUAUUUGGGGUUAAUUGUUAUAUCUAUGAGAUGACAUAGAUUGAUUUCGAGUUGUCACUCUAAAAUUGGGGAUUAAUUAAUAAUUAGAUAAUUACUAGUUGAAUAGUGGUGGAUUCUAAAACCUUGGUAAUUUUCGUCUUGUUGAAAUUUCAUUUACUUUAAUUGUUUUCUUAGCUUAAUUAGUUUAAUUUCUCUUAAAACUCAAUUUGCUCAACUAGGUUAGAAUUAAUAUUAAUUUUAGAUUUAAAUUAGACUUUUCAAUUUAUAACAAUCCCUGUGGGAUCGACCUCGUUACCACUAUUCUAUCUCUAGAUUUGUGCGCUUGCGAGUAUAUUAAAAUUUUCACAACAGUCUGUGACAUAAUAAAAUUGGUUGAAUUAAAUAUCUCUUGGCCCACAUGAUUUAUUUUUAUUAUUUUUUAUUUUCAUUCAACCAAUGAAUUAAUACCGCAUCCAUUUGUACAAGAGUUUGUGGCUAUAUCAUCACUCUAAUUAAAUAAUAUUACAAAAUACUAUUUGCUUAAAGGCUUAGAUGGGGAUGAUGGAUGAGAAAUCUCACCCUCUAAAUACCAAUUUUUCUUCCUAUUAUUCAAAUUUAGGUGACCACAGGUCUAUAUUUACAAGCAGCCAAGCUACACCCAAGAGGCUAAUUAAUCUUUUCCUUAAACUCAACUUUUGAAAUUAGUUACCAAUUUCUACUUUCUUGAAUCAUUUUACUUGGUGUUUUAUCAUAUCUUACGAUGCAGUAUCGCCGCUAUAUCUUUUCCCAAAGUUUAAUUUAAUGGAGGAAAUCUGAGAGAUAGAUUCUUCAAAUCUAAUAUUUAUGACAUUAAGCUUUUAAAUUCAAUAUAAAAUCAAAAUUCGCAGUCACCUAUUCUCCACACAAAGCAAAGAAAAAUUUCUAGAGCAAUUUACUUGCUCCAUCUUUUCCCCAGAAUACACAAAAUUCUAUCAAAGAUUUACAAAAUAGACAUGGCAUAAGAACUUCUGUCAUUUGCUCUACCAAAUUUGACAUUUAUCACUAAAGAUUAAUGUGCCUUACAAGGAGCAAAAUCCAUCGAUCUCAAGAAACAUCCCAAUAUUGAGAGAAACAAUAAAUUUAUUUGAGUAAUCGUGCCAUCAUCGACUUAGCGAUAUACCAGAUUCACUUCCAUGGAAAGUCUGUCAAAUUUUGUAGUUGAUUCUCUUCGCUGUCAUCCAGGCCUUUGGAAAUGAAUCAAACGGUGGCUGGGAUUCCAAUGUUUUGACUACAAUGCUGCUCUACUGGGAGCUUGCAUUGUCAACUUUUUUAAUUAUAGCAUGUGUAUAUUUGACUUUAAGUUUUGUGUUUAGAGCAUAUAACAAUCCAUAGGUUGUGAGUCAGAUGUAUAUGUUGUUUGCUUGUGUCAAUACAUACUUAUUUUGAAUGAAAGAGUUGUUAAUUGUUAAUUAUAUUUCUUCUCUCUUGUUUUUUUUUUUUUGUCAUUUUUCCGAUUAAUUUCUUACUAUGUUAAAUGAAAAUAAGGUUUCUUUGAUAUUAAUGUGGAAGUAGGAAUUCUUGAAUAAUUUAUUUGUGAAAUGUUAAUUUUUCAAUUUAUUUUGUUACUUGUAAAGUUAGGAGGUGCGUAAAUGAUAAACUAAUUUUUUAGCCCUUUACCUAAUUAGAAUUUAAAUAAGCAACUUUUGAAUCCUUCACAUACACAUUUAUGUCCUUUUAUAUAAUUCAAAUUUCAGUAAAAGUGUCAAAAGUUUUUUUUUUUUUUGGGUUAAAUUUCACAUCCCAUCCUGUACAUAAACACCAAUUAGAUAAAUUUCUUUUCCAUAAGCCGCAUCUAGUUGACUACAUCACCGAGCCAUUGACCAUGCUAAGAUGUUGACCGGUCAACAAUUGACCAUUGACUUUGAGAGUCAACUUUCACAAAAAAAUUUAAUUUUUUGCUCUAAAUCUCUCCUAAAGUUUUUGAUGUUAUGGAUCUAUACGUGCAUUCAUAAUCUCCAAAUUCUCACUUAAUUUGUGAGUUAUGGAAUGUGUUGUUCCAUGAUCCACAAUUAAAGGGAUCAAAAUGGAGUAUCAAAAUGAUGGCUCUAUUAGGUGCACGUGAUGUAUAGGUGCACGUGAUGUAUGUGAAGUUGUAGAGAAAUGUUUUACUGUACUAGAAGAUGAAGUUACUUUAAUUGCGACACAAAAGAAGAAUUUGAAAGACUUGAAAAUGAAAGAGAAGAAAGAAAAAUAUUUCAUCUUUCAAACAUUAAAUAAAGAUGCUUUUGAACAGAUUUUUCAACGCUACCUCCUUAAAAAAAGUAUGGGAUAAGUUACAGACCUCUUACAAAGGAGAUGAAUAAGUUAAGAAAGUUCAUCUCCAAAUAUUAAAAAAAGAAUUUGAAUCUUUUCAUAUGAAGGUAUCUAAAUCUAUUUCGGAUUAUUUUACCCAAGUUGUGAUUGUUGCUAUGAAACGAUGAGCAACUUCAAGAAAGGUUGCAAGCCUACAAAAAAUAUAUGAAAGAAGAAGCAUGGGAUUGAAGAACAACUCCUCAAGAUGGAAAUCAAUUCGAAGAAGAGAGAAGAAAGCUCCGUCAACAGGAAAAACCAAUAUGUCCAAGUUAGAGGCUAAGGAUAAGGUAGAGGUUGUGGUCAAGGACUAGACAGGAAUUUCAACACCAAUAACUCUAGUUAUGAAAGAGGAGAAUGCUCAAUCAGAAUAUGAGGAAGAGGCAACCCAAGAUUGAGGUAUGACAAAUCCUAAGUAUAGUGCUACAAUUGCUAAAAGUUUGGCCAUUAUGCUUUUGAAUGUUAAGACUCCCAAUAAUAAAGUUGAGGAGAAGAACAAUUAUAUGGAAGAGAAGACUGAAGAGAAUAAAACAAUACUACUAGCAUACUAGGACAAUUAUAGAGGUCACAAGUGCCUAGUAUCUUGAUACUAGUGCGAGCAAUCAUAAAUAUGGAAGAAAAAAUGUGUUCAUGGAGCUAGAUGAAUCAUUAAAUAGCAAUGUAUCAUUCAGAGAUGAUUCCAAAGAAUAGUGAAAAGGAGAGAUAAAAGCCUUAAUUGUUUAAAAAAAAUGGAAGACAUCAAUUUAUUUAAAAUGUUUACUCUACGCCCAAUAUAAAAAGAAACAUCUUGAGCUUAGGUCAACUCUUACAAAAAGGCUAUAAUAUUCACAUGAAAGAUCAUAGUCCUUUUAUAAGAGAUGACAAAAGAAACUUAAUUAUGAAGGUGAAAAUGUCAAAAAAUAGAAUGUUCUCUUUGAAUAUUCAAAAAGAUGAUGUAAAGUGUUUAAAGACUUGUUACGAGGAUGCAUAUGACUUUGGCAUCUUCAAUUUCGGUAUCUCAAUUUUAGAGGAUUGGAGUUACUAUCUAAGAAGAAUAAUAGAAUAUGGUGAAAGUCUUACCAUGUAUUAAUAACCCUGAUCAACUUUGCGAAGGAUGCUUAGUAGAAAAAUAAUUUAAAGAAAGCUUUCAAAAAGAGUCAAACUUAAGGGCAAAAAGGGCGCUCGAGUUUAUUCACUCAAAUAUUUUUGUUCCAAUCAAGCCAAGCUCCCUUGGUAAAAAUAGACACUUCUUUCUCUUCAUAGAUGGUUUUCCAAGAAAAGCUUAGGUAUACUUUUGAGGUAAAAGUCAUAAGUUUUGAAACUUUCAAGAAGUUCAAAACUGUAAUGGAGAAAGAAAGUGGAUACCUAAUUAAAGCCAUAAGAUCUAUCGAGGAGGAGGAUUCACUUCUAAAGAAUUUCAAGGCUUUGUGAAGCAAAUGAAAUUCAACGUCCUUUGACUAUUCCACCACCCCCCAAUAAAGUGGUAUCCCAUAAAGAAAGAAUAGAACCAUUCUCAACAUAUGCAAGAAAUAUGAUGAAAAAUAAGAGACUGCCUAAAUAAUUAUGGGCUAAAGCUGUUACUUGUGCGGUCUACCUAUCUAACAGAUCUUCAACAAGUCUAUGAGACAAUACACCAUAAGAAGCAUAAAAUGGCAUAAGUCAAGCAUCUUCCACUUAAGAGUUUUUAGAAGCAUAGUUCAUGUACAUGUAUCAUACGAGCAAAGAACCAAAUUGGAUGACAAAAGCGAGAAGUUCAUCUUUAUCGACUAUGACAAUAAUUCCAAAGGAUACAAAUUGUAUAGUCCAAACAUAGGAAGAUCAUAAUUAGUGGAGAUGUAAUUUUUUAUUAAAAAAAAUGAGAAUGGGGUUUUAGCUCUCACGUAGAUGGUGUUAUCUUUUUUUUUUUUUUCUCUCUUCAAGAAAACGAACAGAUAAUAGAGGAGCAAGUAGGAGAACAAGAUCAAGAACCCGUUGUUUCACCUACCUCUCCAGUAUCAACCACUCAUGAAGAUCACCACCAUUAUUUUUGGAGGAAAGAGAUGUGACACACACAAGCAUAAACUAUGAUGAGGUGCUUGAUCUUGUUGCCCGAUUGGAAACUAUAAGACUAAUCAUUUCAUUAGCAGCCCAAAAGAAGUGAAAGAUUUUGCAAAUAGAUGUGAAGUCAAUUUUCUUGAAUGGUAGUAACGAGACAUGGCAUCUUUAAAACAAGUUACAGUCAAUUAGAGGGUAUGUGAUCUGAUUAUUGUCAGUAGUAGUAGCAAGAAUAUAAUUUCCAAGAUCAUGGUUGACGAGCUUCUCAUUAAUAAUAUUUAGUAUUUUCUCAAUUGAGACAUUUUUCUCCUUUGUGAGAGCCCUCUUCUUGAGUUUUUAAGAACGUACAGUAGAAUAACAUCUAGUAUCGUUUUCGCGUUGCAUCACCAUCUAUCAUCCUUAAUUCAGGUCCUUCUUCUCACUCAUCAUGAGUCAAUCUUAAUCUUUAGAAAUCACAAUAAACUAUAAUGGAAAUACAAAGCUCAAUAUGUAAACUAUUUUUUCAUAGACCAAAAUACAAACAUAUUUAUAUGUACUGUAAAAGUAUGAUAUGCAAUGCUCUUGGUAAAAAAGAAUUAUUCAAAACUUUGGGUUACUUUCAAACUUUCACACUUCCUUUCAAUGCAUGAUAUGCAAGUCCCUUUGAAAUUAGUCACUUGAAUCGUUUUACAUGAUAUUCUACCCAUAGCUUACAGGCGGAGCAUCAGCACCAGAUAUUUUCCAAAUUAAAUUGUAGGAAAUCUAAGAAGAUAUCACACUUUUAUUAAUUUAAAUUCAAGUUCACUGUCAUUCACUUUCAAAAACCAAAAGACCCUUCACUUUCAACUCUUUACUUGCUUCCUUUUUCUUCCAAUUUUUCUCUUUCUGAAUGGAUUUUCUACAAGUAAAAUUUUCUUUCUCUUCUCUAGAAUGCAAAAAAGUAUAGCGAAGUUUUAAAAAAUGGACAUGGCGGAAAAUUAUUGUCAUUUGCUUCAGCAAAUUUCACAUUUAUUAGUAAAGAUAAGUGCGCCUUCAGUAGAACAUAAAACCCAUUAAUGUCAAGAAUCCAAUAUUUGAGAGUAGCAAUAUAAUUUAUUUGAAAUAAAGGAUGACAUGGACAAACUUGAACCAAACUUAGCAUCAUAGCUUAUGUUCAUUUAUUAUUUAUCUUGUUUUGAAUAGAAAAGAGUUGUUUAUCAAUUAUAUUUCUUUUAUCUUGUUUCUAUGUAAUUUUUCCAAAUAUUUCUUAAGAUGUUAAAACAAAAUUAAAAUUUCCUAAGUUAUUAAUAGGAAAGUACGUAGGAGGACUCGAGUAAUUUCUUUGCGUACAUAUUUUUGCAUAUGCCAAAUUGCAGCAACUAGUGAUCGGUCAUUCUGUUGUGCGCGGAAUGCGGAAUCAAGAGCACCAAACAAUUACAGAAAAAUAAAGGACACAAGAAUUACGUGGUUCGGUAGUUAAACCUACAUCCACGAAGGCAAGAAAGAAUAAUUGUUUAUUUAACAAUUAAUAGAGUACAAAUAUUUGAUUAACGAAUCUCACUUCCCAGAAACCCAAAUAUACCCAAUACUCUCACACUCUGCAAGAAAGAUAAAUUCCCUAGACACACUUCUCUCACUUCUCUCAAAAGCUUAGAAAUUUAUAAGCUUAACAAUUUUGGGAUGAUUUUAAAUGAAUGAAAUCCUGAACUAUUUAUAGGAGAAAUGAAUUACUAUGCAAAGAAUAAAAUAAUUAAAAAUAUAAUUUUUAAUUAUUAUUAUUUUUCAAAUUCAUCCCCUUUGUCAAUUCUUUCUUUUCGGCUACAAAAUCAAUUUUGAUUUUGCUUCUCUACAAUUGUUGGUGCAACCAACAAUUUGUUGACUUCAACACAUUCUUGGUUUUUUUUUUUUUUUUUUUUCCACAAGCAAAGUAACAUGAAUAGACCUGGAGUAAACAAAAUGAUAGUUAGUUAGGGAGAGAUAAUGAACUUCACCCCUUGAAGAAUUAUAUAUUCAACUAAAGCCAAAACAAAAAGAGAAAUUGGUUUCACAUGGAUUCGUUGAUCAUUUUGCGCAAACUCAUUGAAAUUUAUCCAAUUUUAAUACUUCUUGUUACUUGUUGUGUAAGAGCAUGUAUAACGUAUUUAAUAUCUUUGGUGAUCAUUUUGGACAAACUCAUUAAUUAAUUUUAGUCAUUCUUGUUACUUGUUAAUUGUUAUAUAAGAACAUAUGUAAUAUAUUUGGUGUAGGUAAUGAAAAUUAUUAGAUAUAUGCUUUUAUUAUAUAUAAUAAGUAACAAGAAUUAUUAAAAUGAAAUAAAUUUCAAUAAAGAGAAAGGUUUAUAUAAGACAGCCCCCUAAUGUUUUGUCAUCUGACAGUGUAGUGUGUCCCAUAUUAAAUUAAUUAAAUAUAAUAGAUCUUGUUGCGAUCUUUUUGCGAAAAAAGAAUUCUCAAGAGCUCAUCAUAUAUAGUUCCUAAAAAAUUACUAUAUUUGAUAGAUAAGCGUGUCCUAAUUAAGAAAAGAUUUGUAGGAUCAAAUUAAUAAAUAGAGCCACGAUCCUCUUCGCAAUCUAUCGACCAGCUGCAAUCGAGCAGUUUAGAUUUUAAUCACAGCCAUGAUCUCUUCAAGGCUCCUAUGCUGCCUAACAGCGUUACUGAUUCUCCCCUCAUCAUCAAAUGCAGCUGAUCCCGAUCCUCUACAAGACAUCUGUAUCGCAGAUUUGGAUGCCAAAAUCUCUGUGAAUGGCUUCCCUUGCAAAUCUGAAACUGAAGUAACUUCCGAUGAUUUUUUCUUCGAUUUGUCCGAAGAAGGAAACUUGUCAAAUGCCUUCGGACGUGCAGUAACUGAAGGCAAUGUUCAUGAAUUUCCAGGGGUCAACACUCAAGGAAUUUCAACAAAUCGAGUUGACCUUGCUGUUGGUGGAAUCAACCCUCCUCAUUUACAUCCUCGCUCAAGCGAGUCAAGUAUUGUCAUUAGAGGAACAGUGCUCGUAGGAAUCAUAACAACUGACAAUGUGUUUUACUCAAAGGUUGUGACAGCCGGGAUGCUGUUUCUAAUUCCUAGAGGACUGGUUCACUUCCAGCUAAAUGUCGGAAAAGAAAAUGUUCUUUUCUUCCCUUCUUUCAACAGCCAAUUACCUGGCACUCAGUUCGUGCACUCAAGUCUGUUUAAUACAACACCGCCAAUUCCUAAUGAAGUGUUAACCAAAACUUUCCUGGUAGGCGAUGAGGUGAUUAAUGCCAUUAAAGCAGCCAUCACAUCAGCCCAGUUAGGACAUCGGCCCAAAUAGAUUAACGUUCACAAUAAUGCUUGGUCGGGGAAGUUAUUUACUUAAUUAUUUAUAUUGAUUUGAAUAAAAGGAUUGUUUUCUAAUAAGAAUAAUGAUUGGGUUAUAAAGUUUGUAUUCUAACUUGUGUGUCGCCUUGUUUGAUAAGAAUAAUGAUAGGCUUUAUCUUAUAGAGCCGUAUAAUGAUUAGUUACUUAGCCUUAUCCGUGAUUCUAUUUGUAUAUUUCCACAUCUAUUUGUAUUCCAACUUUGUAAGUGUAUCACUGAUCUUCUAUCUGUAUUCUUCUUUUUCAUUUCUUUGUAAUUUCAUCUAUCUUUAAAAGUUUAUGCCAACUUGAUAUUGCUGUAAUUUUUAAAAUAAUUAGUUAUGAAUAGAUUCAAUAAUUUAUUUUUGUAUCAGUCAGAUUCAAUACCAUGGCCCCUAAGCACCUAUUCAAGCCCAUUAAACAUACACUACUCAUAAUCAUCAUUAUUCUUAGAGCUUAAAGAGUAAUGAUAUUUGAACCAAAGGAUUCUACAUAAUGGCGACAAACAAUUGUAAAAUCACAUGGUGUUAUGAUGUUAAGCAAAUAAUUAACAUUGUUUUUCAAUUAAAACUAUAAAACCGUAUAAUUCUAGCAUUGAUUUUUUUUCUCAUUAUGUCACCAUUAGGGCUUUUAUUACUUUUAGAACUUAAAACUAUUCCAAAUUCACUAAAUAAUCAAUCUUUUUUUCUGCAUUAGCUUAUGAAACGAUGGACGAUGGACGAGAUUCAAUUGUUCCCAUUACAAAAGCUGCUCUGGUGGCAGCUGCAUUACCAGAUUUUGAGCUAAACUUCAAACUUAUGUACUAGAUGAUUUUAAUUUGAUGCAAUACAUAUUUUUACUUCUAAUUUAGUUGUAAGAUGUAAUUAGAUGUGAGUUGGGUUGUUGGGUUAAGUUGAAUAUCUAGGAGUGAUGUAAUUAGAUGUGAGUUGGGUUAAGUUGAAUAUCUAGGAGUGUGUGUGUGUGUGUGUAUGUGUUGUAUUUUGAAUUAUUUUCAAGUUUAUUGUUCUAAGGAAGACAUGGACAAAUUUAAACAAACCGUUAGCAUCAUCGCUUAUGUCCAUUUACUUAUUUCUCCUGUUUUGAAUAAAUUAAAAGAGUUAUUCACUUGUUUGUUAAUUAUAUUUCUCCUUUCUUAUUUCUGAGUCAUUUUUCUGAAUAAUUUCUUCAUAUGUUUAAAUAAAAUUAACAUUCCCUAAGAUACUAAUGGAAAAGAUGUCUUGGAUAAUUCGUUUGCGAAUACAUUUAUCCAUUAGAUACAUAUUACAAAUUGCGGCAAAUAGUUAUCUUUCUUUCUUUCUUUUUUAUUUUCUGCUGUACCGUACAUCCGCCUUGGCCGUACAGCAGUGUUUUUAUAACUUAAUUUGAAUUUUUAAAUAAUUUUGACUUAAUUAAAAAAGUUAAUUUUUUUUUGGGUUUUUAUGACUGGAGAAGUUUGAAUCAGCCAAUUGAUUUCUAAUAUUAAAAAUAUCUCUAAUUUAUUAUUUAUUUUUCAUGCUUAUCCUAAAACACACCCAUACAUGUUUAUCUACUAAUAAUCUCAUCUUUAUUUUUUCCAGCUGCUAUGAAAUCCCUCCCUACUUUACUUCUCUCAUCAAGUUCUUGAAUUUCUCAUUAUCGUUAAUAAAAGAUUUUAUUCUUAAAAUUUUUAUGUAAUUAUAUAAUCAGUUUUUAUUAAAAAAGAAAUUUAUAUGUUAUAAUUUCAAAAUAAUUAUAUAUAUAAAGCUUAGGAAAAGGAUACAAAACUCUCUAAUGUCUCAAAAAAGACUUUUAAACUCUAAAUUAUUAAUGGAUUCAAUUUUUUUAAAUAAUUUAAAGGUUAAUAUGAUACAUUCCAUAAUUAAUAAUGGGUGAUGAUAGUUGAUGAAGAAGAAGAAGAUGACAUUGAAUAAGAUGAGCAAUUAGGAAAAAGGAGAUAAUAAACUGAAUUUCAACAGUAAAAUUCCAACCAUUAUAAAUAAGGGUGUGUUUCUAAUUCUAUUAAUAAUUUAUGGGCAAAAUGGAUUAGUCAAUACAAUUACUUGUAUUUUAGAGGAAGAUAAUGGUAAUCAUAAGUUGAAAAUAAUUUUUCUUGUUAAAAUUAACAGAAUCCAUUAACAAAUUGGGGGUAAAUGUUUUUUUAAACGUUAGAGAGUUUUGUAUCCCUUUCUAUAAAGGUUUGGGGUGUAUCAGUCAUUUUCUCUAUUAUUUCCUUGACAUUCGAAUUUAAUAAGGAUACAAAUGUAAAAGUACACAUUUUUAGUUUUUAAGUUAAAAAAAAAACUUAAUACUUUUUCAAAGAUUGAAAAAAAAAUUAUUUAAAUUCAGACAUCCUAGUCUAUUAAAAUUUCAUAGUAGUUCAAGUCUAUUUAAAUUUCAAAUAAAAAAAUUCCAGCUAAAUCCGUUUGUUUUUUCAACAUAAUGAAAAUUUUUAGUUAUUAAGUCAUUAAGUCAUUAAGCCAACUUUUUAACUUUUUGCUAAGCAAAAAAGAUGCCAUUAAAAUAUAUCUUCCAAAAUAUCCCUAUCUAAUUAAUUAAUUUUCAUCCUUACCUAAAUAAAAUUUAAUAAUUAACAUUAUUACCCAUCUCUAUAACUUGUGAUAAUAUAGCGGUAGGUGACUAUUAUUUUUAUCCUUUUAUUUUCUUCAAAUUAGCAUAAUUAAUCUUCAUGAUUUUUUUGAAUAUUUUUUUAUAUAAAAAUAUUAUGAACUACAAUUAAAUUGAUUAACAUGUAUAAUGGAAAAGAUGUCUUGGAUAAUUCGUUUGCGAAUACAUUUAUCCAUUAGAUACAUAUUACAAAUUGCGGCAAAUAGUUAUCUUUCUUUCUUUCUUUUUUAUUUUUUUCAGAGCAACUCAACAUUAAUAGAACAACAUUGAACCAAAUAACGCUUAGGUAGGGAGACAUACCGGGCAUCACCACCACAAAUCCUUCCACCCCGUACCCUAAUACCAUCCCCAAGCCAUCAUAUGCUUCUGCAGUCAACCCUGUGUCCAUCGUUGACCCUAAUGUUGCCUCUAGGCUCUUUAAAUCCUUUGUUGAUGUUUGUUACAAUUUCAUCUUCGCCUUCUUUUUCUGUGAAGAUGGGCACCUUUCAUCGAGGCGAACCUGCUAUACAUUUUAAAGAAUUAGCAGUGCAGAUUAAUUAACUAGUUUCUUAAGAUAGUUGAAACAAGCAUAACCCUCGCAAUAUAUAUAUAUAUAUAGCCGUAUGUUCAUAAUCGAUCAUUCUAUUAAAAAAAUUUCAAUACUUCUAUUUUCUUUUUACUUCAUGGAGUCUUAUUACAGUAGAUACAAAUUAAUUUUCAAUUAGUGAAAUAAUUUUCAAUUAAUGGAAAAGAUGUCUUGGAUAAUUCGUUUGCGAAUACAUUUAUCCAUUAGAUACAUAUUACAAAUUGCGGCAAAUAGUUAUCUUUCUUUCUUUCUUUUUUAUUUUUUUCAGAGCAACUCAACAUUAAUAGAACAACAUUGAACCAAAUAACGCUUAGGUAGGGAGACAUACCGGGCAUCACCACCACAAAUCCUUCCACCCCGUACCCUAAUACCAUCCCCAAGCCAUCAUAUGCUUCUGCAGUCAACCCUGUGUCCAUCGUUGACCCUAAUGUUGCCUCUAGGCUCUUUAAAUCCUUUGUUGAUGUUUGUUACAAUUUCAUCUUCGCCUUCUUUUUCUGUGAAGAUGGGCACCUUUCAUCGAGGCGAACCUGCUAUACAUUUUAAAGAAUUAGCAGUGCAGAUUAAUUAACUAGUUUCUUAAGAUAGUUGAAACAAGCAUAACCCUCGCAAUAUAUAUAUAUAUAUAUAGCCGUAUGUUCAUAAUCGAUCAUUCUAUUAAAAAAAUUUCAAUACUUCUAUUUUCUUUUUACUUCAUGGAGUCUUAUUACAGUAGAUACAAAUUAAUUUUCAAUUAGUGAAAUAAAGUGGCGCAAGAGAUUUGAUGUUAGUACGGUCCCGCCACAGAUUGAAAAAUACUAAAGUUCAUUUUUUUAAUUAAAAAAAACAACAAUUUCAAUUGUGCUCAAGACUAAAAUAUUAAAUCGAAUCGAUUUGCAUAAAAUUAAUUAGGGUAAUUUAAUUCUAUUUAUGUUAAAAUUAUCCACUUCAUGAAAUUAAUUAUUAAUUUUUACACUGGUCGAAUCAUUUUGCAUGAUGUUCUACCAUAGGUUACGACGGACCGUGACCGCCAGAUCUUUUCCUAACUAAAGUGGAAAUUUAAUGAAGGAAAUCUACGAAUAUGAAAUUUCUAUGACAUUAAUUAAAGUUCAACUUCAAUAUAAAUUCAAGUUCAGAGAAGUUUGCUCUCCAAAACCAGAAACCAAAAACAAAACAAAAAAAUUCACAUAUAUCGAUAAAGCUAAAUGUGCACUUGCUUAGAGCAAAAAACCCAUUAAUCUCAAAAAAAUACUCCUUCAUUCAGAGAGACAAUAAUUUAUUUGAGUACCAGAAUUUCAAAUAUGGAUGUUGUAGGCUCUCCCCUCCCUCGUGUUUUGUUCAAUUUUUUUUUUUUUUUUGUAACAAUAAUUUUUUAUCUUUAAUCUUCAUCUUAAAGCCAUUAUGCUUGAUGACUCGUUCAUGUCAUUUUCUUCAGCCUUUACAAAGGUUGUUUCCCCGUUUGUUAGUUGCUGUUACUUGCCCAGCUGGAUUCCCGCCAAUACCAACAACCGUAUAUGCCUUUCUCACGUGCCAAGCAUGCGAAAUUUAAGUGAACCCAAAACGACAACAGGCUUGUGUCGUUUUGAUUAUAUUUGGUUUAUGAUAUCACGUGACAACACACAUGACUUUCGAACCACUUGUGGAUGACAUCCUCGAUAUUGUCGGUUGUCAGGCUUCAACACACUAGACAACAUGUACUGUCUUCGGAGUUCCGCAAAUACUAAACCAUUUUUUUUUUUGAAUGGGCAAAUACUAACUUAAUUAUGUGGCAUCCUUACGGAAAACUCUUUAGAAUUAUUGGAGAAUUUUAAUCCCGCCCAAGAUUCCAUAAAUAAAAAAUACCAAAUAAAUAAUAAGUAAAAUUAGACGGAGAAUAAAACUAGUCACACAACACAAGAAUUUACGUGGAAAUUUCUAUACUGAAGAAAAACUACGGCCACCAAGGAUGACGAGAGAAAAAUAUACUAUGUAAAAAAUUAUUACGAUCAUUCUAGUAUUUUUUCUCACACCAAAAACGCCAAUAACACUCAAUCUUUCAAUAGUUUUAUUGUUUCUCACACACAAGAAACUGUUUACUUGCAGAGAAUUAAUUGUUGUGUUAUAUAAAUAAGUGAACUCAACCUCCCUAUAUAUAGUGAUUAUUUAUUGUAGGAGAAAUAUUAUUUUUUUUAUACUAGUUAUAUUCCUCCUUAAAUAAGACAAGUCCCAAAGAAAAAAUUACUUAUUAUUUAAAUAGAAAUCCUACCAAAAAAAGGAAAAUAUCCUAAAAAAUCCUUAUUGAAAAAUAAGAUAUAUUUCCUGUUUGGUAACGGAUAAAAGGAGGAAAAAAGGGAGAGUGGGGGCAUGACUUUUAUCUCAUCCAUAACUUCCGAAAAGUGGGAGAGAACAAGGGGGGAAAGAGGGGAGUGGGGAGUUACCUAGGGGGGAUUUUAUUUAUUUUUUCUCUCUUCUCCGGGGGGUGUUUUUUGGGCUCUCUUCCUCUCAUGGAAAUUUCUUGCUUUUACACUAUACUUUACUUUCUGUAAAUUACUCGAAAAGCUUUGGGUUUGAAGGCAAUGCUUAUUAAGCCACAUGAGUGGUGGCACAAAUUUUUCCGAAAGGCCUAGAAACUGACUUGAGCGUCGGAGGCUUCACGCCGGAAAAACUUCCGGCGCCUCUGACCGUCUUCUAUGAUUUCCGGUAUUCACAGAUUAAUCGCCGGUGGUUGCAGGACAUCUAGACGAUUGACCAAUCGAUUCUCUACCAAAUAAAUCUAAAGUUGAUGCGGGAGUUUGGUAUCAAGUCGCUAACCGACUCAAUCGGAUUUCGACAUCAACAUUUGGCGCCGUCUGUGGGGAUCGAUACAAGAAGCCAAUUUGUUAUCUCUAUCAACUUUCAUCUAGCCAAAGCGAAGGCAAAAUAUUAUCAUGUGUGAAUUGAAGCAACCUGUCUUUUAUUUCUGAACUCACGUGAAAGAAGCAAAGCGAAUCGGUAAAAAACUAACCCAAUGUUGGCAUUUAGAAGCUUCAGAUCGGUAAAAUCUGUCACAGAUUCAUCUCCACUUGUAUUUCCAAUUAAAUUACUGCAAUUACUUUCAAUUUAUUUGUUUGUGUGCAUGAUAUAUUGCAUCAAAUGAUCAAUUGUGAUUUGGCUUUCAUGAGCAUGAGAAAUUGAUUAUAGAGGAUAGAUUUAAAAAAUACAUAUACUGAAUAUAUGAAAUCAUAUCACAAACUAGUGGCCACAUGCUUGUUGGUUUAUAGUCAAUUGCUGAUCAUGUGCUUACCAUUAAAGUCUUGCACGCAUACAAGUUUAGAUAUUAAGAUUUUAACCACUUUCCCAAUCGGAUUAUGCCACGGUUUCAGCAUGCAUUUUGAUGGGUUUAAUCAUUUCGAAUGAUAUUUAAUUACUAAUUGGAUGCAGAGAUGUGUCAGAUUGUAAUUUCAGAAACAGGUUUCAGAUGAUAUUUGUUAAAAGUGGUGAUACGAGAUCACGCACAGUAAGCGUUAGACAAAAUGAUUGAUAGAAUAAAAAAAAAAAUCGCAGCCUCAAAUUGUAAAGAGCAAGCUUAGGACUCUACAUAGGAACAAUCAAGAUGGUGAGAUUAAUUGGACUGGAAAACAAAGGCUGCAACUGAAAUUACAGGGAGUGACGCUCAAUAGAACAUUGCGCAAGAGCAAAGGACUAAAAUCCAAAAUAAUUCUAAGAAGGGAGCAAAGCAGAGUCAAGCUCGGGAUUUGUUUGAUGACGUACCAAUGAAAUAAUGCAGAGCACAAUCUCAGGUGCACUUGUUCUAAAACCUCAGUUUUAUAUUUAUCCUUUAAAUCCGCUACCUGACUUCAAAAAUCUGAUGGAUGGGGUUUUGACUUAUUAAGUCGUUAAUAAAAAAUAGUUAAGAUUGCAUAUUAUAGAAUAUAUAGCAUAGUCAUAUNNNNNNNNNNNNNNNNNNNNNNNNNNNNNNNNNNNNNNNNNNNNNNNNNNNNNNNNNNNNNNNNNNNNNNNNNNNNNNNNNNNNNNNNAAAGGCCCAAACAUAUAUAAAUAGCUAACCUUGGCCGUACAGCAGUGAGCUAUUUUCUGGACAAGUUAUACGUUAUAGGUCAGAAAUUAAAUUUUUGAUAGUUUAUUACAGCUGAUCAAUUUGCAGAGCAAAUCCAUAUUUAAGGAUUUAAAGAAAAAAACCUCAAAUAAGAGCACAUCGAAGGCACACAUUUAUAGGAAUCAGAACAGGUCAGAAGUUAUAUUUUGAUUUACAAGCAGUUUUUUCUAUGAAAAUUUAAUUGUUUCUCUAAAUUCUGCUAUAUGCGAUGAGGAUACCUUAUAUUCAUUAAAUUGAUUGCGCUCAUAUUAGGGCUGACGGUAUAACUUAGUUAACUUGAUUUCUUGAAAGUUACUCAAUAUGAGAAUAAUUUAAGAAAUGAGAGCUAGGCUAGCGUUGAGAAGCCAAUCAAAGUUUACUAAUAAGGCAUGCAAAGGCUCACCAAGUCUCAAAGUCUAUUUUAUGGCGAGACCAGAAGCCAAGUGUGCCAGGAUUUACUCGACCAAGCGAAGGCAAGCAGACCCUCAAGUAUUAUAAAAAUUCCUAAGGCAUGCAAAGGCUCACCAAGUCUCAAAGCCUGUUUUAUGGCGAGACUAGAAGCCAAGCGUGCCAGGAUCUGCUCGACCAAGCUAAAGUGAGCAGACCUUUAAGUGUUAUAAAAAUUUCUAAGGCAAGUAAAGGCUCCAAAGUCUCAAAACCUGCUCAAUGGCGAGAUAAAAAGUCAAGCUUGCUAGAAUUUGCCCGACCAUGUGAAGCCGAGCAAAAAAAAAAAAUUUACAACUUCUAUACCAGAAGACAAGUAAGAACAUUCUUAUUAAUAUGCCAACAGUUCGUAAAGUUAUUCAUCAUAACAGACAAUGUCCAAAAAAUAGGAAAAGGCAACUACAACACAAAACAUGUUUAAGAAGACGGCGGCUCAGUAAGCCGAGAAGCCUCAGUUGGCUGGUCCACCUCAGGUGCUGGGGGAGUAUCACCAGUUGCGUCCGGGGGGGCACUCGCCUCGCCAACAUCAACAGGGAUUGCACGAGGAGGAGAGUUUUCCUCCUCGACCAUAAUUGGCUCCACCACUUCGGCAUCCUCUUUCGCCGCCUCCUCAUCCAUGUGUUGAGCAACACCAGCUGCAAGGUCAUCCAUUUGCAGAUCAGGGUGCUACUUCCCAAGGACAACCAUGAUGCAACGAUAAGAAUGCCGAAGUCCUUGGUCGUAUUGGUUGUCAGCUUCAUUCUCCAAGUUCUCGUCCUAAGCCCGGUAGGAAUCGCGGAGAGAUUCGAGCUGAGCCUCGUACAUAACCUUCUGCCUUUGCAGAUCCUCCUUGACCUUGGUUAGCUCUUCCUCGAGAGUAAUAGCCUUUGCUUAAGCAAGAGAUUCUCACUCUAUCAGCUUCAGAUUCUCGAGAUUCAAGUCUCCUACUUUCUUCUCGGCAACGUCGGCUCUGGUCAUCGCCGAUUGAAUGUCCUCCUUCAUCUUCCAGUCAUAACGGCCAACCUUGACCUUAUAGUAAGUGGUCAUGCAGCUGAGAUGGAAAUCGCUAUACUGCAUGGCCCCCACCAGCUCACCCAGGGUGCAGCCAUCAAAGUCCUCCAGGUCCUUCUUACUUACAAGUUUAGAUAACUCGUUGAGAUAGGGGACCAAGUGUUCUGCUCGGUUGUCAGAUAAACGAGAUCUAGGCCUGACAGGAGGAGAAGAGGAAGCAGGAUCAGUGGCUGCUCCACUAGUUUCUCCGACUUUGGCAGGAGGAGGAGGUAGAGUCUUCAAGGGAGGAACCUGCUGCACAAUGUUCACCCGCUUCGCAGUAAGAGUGUUCUUGUUCUGGUCUCUCUUUGCAGUUUGAGGUCGAGAACGUUUCCAAUUCAGAGCCCCGAUCACAACAUCCUCCAUCUUAUGGCCGGGGGGCACCAAGCAAGAUUCAACCAGGUUAUAACGUGGUUAGCAGCUCCUAGUGUGAGCAAGAAUUGGCCAGCACAGCCUCGACCUGUUUGAGCUGGUCGGGAUUAAGCGGGAAGUGAACACCCCAAGAACCUGUAAAACGAACAGACAUUUGGUUAGAGACAAAUCAACAAAGUGAGAACAACUAUGGAGACAAGUCAUUUAAAAUGAGCAGGCAACCUGGAACCACGAAACGGGGUGGGACGCGAUAAUCUUUCCCAUCAAUCUGUGCAACUUGACCCCAGGGACCCCCUUAUAAAAAUUCCUAAGGCAUGCAAAGGCUCACUAAGUCUCAAAGCUUGUUUUAUAGUGAGACCAGAAGCCAAGCGUGCCAAGAUAUGCUCGACCAAGUAAAGGCGAGCAGACCCUUAAGUGUUAUAAAAAUUCCUAAGGCAUGCAAAGGCUCACUAGAAGCCAAGCAUGCCAAGAUCUGCUCGACCAAGCGAAGGCGAGCAGACUACAAAAGUUUCAGAAAUCUUCCAAGGCAUGCAAAGGCUCCAAAGUCUCAAAGUCUAUUUUAUGGCAGGACAGAAAGCGAAGCAUGCCAGGAUCUGUUUGACCAAGCGAAGGCGAGCAGACUACAAAAGUUCUAAAAAUCUCCUAAGGCAUGGAAAAGCUCCACAAGUCUCAAAGCCUCCUCGAUGGCGAGACAGGAAGCCAAGCUUGCCAGAAUCUGCUCGACCAUGUGAAGCCGAGCAAACAAUGAAAAUUUCAAAAAGUUUCUAAGGCAAGUAAAUGCUCCAAAGUCUCAAAGCCUGCUCGAUGGCGAGAUAAGAAGUCAAGCUUGCUAGAAUCUGCCCGACCAUGUGAAGCCAAGCAGAAAGAAAAAAAAAAGGUACUACAAGUAAAAGGCUUACAGUCUCCAAACCUCCUCGCAGUGAAACGAAGUCAAAGUUCUCUCUUGCCCGACUAAGAUUAUGCGAGCAAGAGUUAUAUGAGCGAAAAAUGUUCUAAAGCAGAUAAAUGACUAAGUCUUAAAACUUACUUGAAAUGAGAUAAAUACCUAAACUUAUGAAACCUGCUUUACAUGAUUAUGUGAGUAGGAAAAUGGUAUAUUUAAAGGCAUGUAAAAGUUUAAAACUUGAAACUUUUUUGUUAAGGGCAAGGUUAAUUUAAGCAAUCCCGAGCCGAUUUAUGGCAACCACCUCGAGUUCACUUUAAAAUUUAUAUAGUUUCCAGUCUUGAUUCGUUAAAGCUCUCAACACUAGAAACUGGGGGACUGGUGUUUGGUAACGGAUAAAAGGAGGAAAAAAGGGAGAGUGGGGGCAUGGCUUUUAUCUCAUCCAUAACUCGAUGUGUUGGUGAUUGGAUAUUGUAAAGGAUUUAUUAGAUAUUGUAUACGGAUUUGAUUCACCAUAUAUUUUGUGAUGCUAUUUGUUGGAAGUUUCAAGUGAUUGAAAUUUUUAGCGCAUCACACUAUUUGGUAUUUGAUAGUUUUUAUGAAUUUGAAUGUAAUUUUUAUUUCAAUUAAUUCAAGUUUUAAAUGUGGUUUUUGUUGUUUUUAUUUCAAAAUUCUGGAAUUUAAAUAAUAAUAAUUAAUAUUAUUAUAAUUUCAAAAUUAAAAAUAAUAAUUUUAUUCUUUUUUAAACUUUAAAUCUCAUGACAAAGAAUGUGAAUCAUUGAUAUAUGACAGCUUUUGAAGAAACCCAUCAAAUUCAAAAUAAUUUAAAUACCUGCUAAAAUUUCCAAUUAAUUCUCGAAAGUCUUUCAAAACGACGUCGCUUGGUUCGUGAUACAUGUGUGAUAAAUAUACAUUGUCAUGGGAACAUGUGAUAGAUAAAAUGUUGUCACAGAUUUGUGAGACGGGCUACAAUGACAGAUGGAAACUCUGUCAUAAGAGGGGUCGGAUGAUAGAUAUUCUCUGUCAUGGUAGCCCAUUUUUCUAGUAGUGUUCAAAUAGAAAAAUUAGUACGUUGUCAAUAUAAUUGUCUUAUAUAUGAUGCCAACAAUGAAACUAAACAAUCAUUCCCUUUAGCAUCCUUUUGGAAAAAUCUCUAUAACAAAUUGGAACAUUUUAAAAACUCAAAUCUUCAUAAAAAGUGGAGUGAGGAGUACCAUUAAUGAGUAAGUCCUGUGUUCGCACUUACAAAUACAAACACAAAGAUUAAAAUAAAUUUGAUCACUCACUAAUUGGAGUAUUUAUGUUAAACUUAUAGUUAUGUUUGGCCCUAAAAGUAUGCAAUAAAAUAACAUCAUUUUCAUAUACAAAAUUUUAUUUAUUCAUUGUUUAUUUUGACCGAACAUUAUUAGACUUAGUUUAUGAAGCAUGUAUUUUAUAUAUUGAUAAUUCUGCUGUACGGCCAAGGCGGAUGUACGGUACAGCAGGCCUAUCUAUCUUUUUUUGGUUUUUGUAUAUAUAUAACUCAUGAGAUUUAUAAUUUUUCAUUAUCAUGUUAACCCCUGGUCUGGACUGUCCUAAUAUUUAAACUUCUUUCCACCAUUUUCAAUUCUUAAAUUGACCAAUAUUUAUCUCAAUGUGUCCCUUUACUUGCCCAUUGAAUUUUGCAUCAAGGAUCUGAUGUGGUAGAAGAGAAGCUAACAAUUUAUGCGCUCGACAAUGUCUUUGCCUUUUGAAUUGAUUGAGAGAUCAUCAUUUCUUCACCCACUGGAAACUUUAGAUUAUGCUUUACGCUUUGGGCUUAUACUGGCAAGCCUACAAUCAUGGUAUUAAAGUUGGUAGAUUGAGGAGAUUCUGGUGAUUCCAGAAUUUUCUACAUUUUCUCUUUAUCUUUUGGAUUUUUAGAACUUUUUCCUUUCUUUUUAUUAGCUUGAUUUUGAUGGAUUUUAUUUAAUUAUAUAUGGAAGGUUAGAUGUUGUGCAUUAAUUAAAUUAUAGUCUUGAAAAAAUACUCUUUAAAAAAAUUCAUCUAGAAAUUUAGAAUUGAAAUCUGUCGAAGGCUAGACUAAAAGUUCUCUUCUCGUCUUUGGCAUUGCACUUGGUUUUAUAUUUCUCUUUACUAUGUACUCUGUUGCAAAAUAUUUUGUUUAUACUUAAUCUUUUAUAAUCCAGCAACUCUUAUGAAGACCUAGUCAACUGUCACUGCUACAUAAGCAUUCAGGUUAUGCUGCUUUAUCAUCAUUUUUAUUUUCUUCCAUUUUUCUCUUUUACAGCUUGUGAGCUUACUGCUUCAUUAUGUCAAUUUUCUGAAUGUGAUUUUUUAUUUUCUCUUGGGUUGUUUAUUCUCAUUUUCCCUUUAGUAUCAAAGCUGAUUAAAUCAAUUAGACACUGAUGAAUUUUAUUAUGAAUUUGAUUAAUUGUAAGUGGGCAAUAUAUUAAUAUGUAUUUUUUUGGCACUCAUUUUAUUGUAACCUAUGUUUCAGGUGAUGUUGGUGGCUUUCGGGAAUUUACUAAGAGUGUUUUUUUUAUGGAUUAAUUGUUUUUCUAGUGAUGUGUUGGUGAUUGGAUAUUGUAAAGGAUUUAUUAGAUAUUGUAUACGGAUUUGAUUCACCAUAUAUUUUGUGAUGCUAUUUGUUGGAAGUUUCAAGUGAUUGAAAUUUUUAGCGCAUCACACUAUUUGGUAUUUGAUAGUUUUUAUGAAUUUGAAUGUAAUUUUUAUUUCAAUUAAUUCAAGUUUUAAAUGUGGUUUUUGUUGUUUUUAUUUCAAAAUUCUGGAAUUUAAAUAAUAAUAAUUAAUAUUAUUAUAAUUUCAAAAUUAAAAAUAAUAAUUUUAUUCUUUUUUAAACUUUAAAUCUCAUGACAAAGAAUGUGAAUCAUUGAUAUAUGACAGCUUUUGAAGAAACCCAUCAAAUUCAAAAUAAUUUAAAUACCUGCUAAAAUUUCCAAUUAAUUCUCGAAAGUCUUUCAAAACGACGUCGCUUGGUUCGUGAUACAUGUGUGAUAAAUAUACAUUGUCAUGGGAACAUGUGAUAGAUAAAAUGUUGUCACAGAUUUGUGAGACGGGCUACAAUGACAGAUGGAAACUCUGUCAUAAGAGGGGUCGGAUGAUAGAUAUUCUCUGUCAUGGUAGCCCAUUUUUCUAGUAGUGUUCAAAUAGAAAAAUUAGUACGUUGUCAAUAUAAUUGUCUUAUAUAUGAUGCCAACAAUGAAACUAAACAAUCAUUCCCUUUAGCAUCCUUUUGGAAAAAUCUCUAUAACAAAUUGGAACAUUUUAAAAACUCAAAUCUUCAUAAAAAGUGGAGUGAGGAGUACCAUUAAUGAGUAAGUCCUGUGUUCGCACUUACAAAUACAAACACAAAGAUUAAAAUAAAUUUGAUCACUCACUAAUUGGAGUAUUUAUGUUAAACUUAUAGUUAUGUUUGGCCCUAAAAGUAUGCAAUAAAAUAACAUCAUUUUCAUAUACAAAAUUUUAUUUAUUCAUUGUUUAUUUUGACCGAACAUUAUUAGACUUAGUUUAUGAAGCAUGUAUUUUAUAUAUUGAUAAUUCUGCUGUACGGCCAAGGCGGAUGUACGGUACAGCAGGCCUAUCUAUCUUUUUUUGGUUUUUGUAUAUAUAUAACUCAUGAGAUUUAUAAUUUUUCAUUAUCAUGUUAACCCCUGGUCUGGACUGUCCUAAUAUUUAAACUUCUUUCCACCAUUUUCAAUUCUUAAAUUGACCAAUAUUUAUCUCAAUGUGUCCCUUUACUUGCCCAUUGAAUUUUGCAUCAAGGAUCUGAUGUGGUAGAAGAGAAGCUAACAAUUUAUGCGCUCGACAAUGUCUUUGCCUUUUGAAUUGAUUGAGAGAUCAUCAUUUCUUCACCCACUGGAAACUUUAGAUUAUGCUUUACGCUUUGGGCUUAUACUGGCAAGCCUACAAUCAUGGUAUUAAAGUUGGUAGAUUGAGGAGAUUCUGGUGAUUCCAGAAUUUUCUACAUUUUCUCUUUAUCUUUUGGAUUUUUAGAACUUUUUCCUUUCUUUUUAUUAGCUUGAUUUUGAUGGAUUUUAUUUAAUUAUAUAUGGAAGGUUAGAUGUUGUGCAUUAAUUAAAUUAUAGUCUUGAAAAAAUACUCUUUAAAAAAAUUCAUCUAGAAAUUUAGAAUUGAAAUCUGUCGAAGGCUAGACUAAAAGUUCUCUUCUCGUCUUUGGCAUUGCACUUGGUUUUAUAUUUCUCUUUACUAUGUACUCUGUUGCAAAAUAUUUUGUUUAUACUUAAUCUUUUAUAAUCCAGCAACUCUUAUGAAGACCUAGUCAACUGUCACUGCUACAUAAGCAUUCAGGUUAUGCUGCUUUAUCAUCAUUUUUAUUUUCUUCCAUUUUUCUCUUUUACAGCUUGUGAGCUUACUGCUUCAUUAUGUCAAUUUUCUGAAUGUGAUUUUUUAUUUUCUCUUGGGUUGUUUAUUCUCAUUUUCCCUUUAGUAUCAAAGCUGAUUAAAUCAAUUAGACACUGAUGAAUUUUAUUAUGAAUUUGAUUAAUUGUAAGUGGGCAAUAUAUUAAUAUGUAUUUUUUUGGCACUCAUUUUAUUGUAACCUAUGUUUCAGGUGAUGUUGGUGGCUUUCGGGAAUUUACUAAGAGUGUUUUUUUUAUGGAUUAAUUGUUUUUCUAGUGAUGUGUUGGUGAUUGGAUAUUGUAAAGGAUUUAUUAGAUAUUGUAUACGGAUUUGAUUCACCAUAUAUUUUGUGAUGCUAUUUGUUGGAAGUUUCAAGUGAUUGAAAUUUUUAGCGCAUCACACUAUUUGGUAUUUGAUAGUUUUUAUGAAUUUGAAUGUAAUUUUUAUUUCAAUUAAUUCAAGUUUUAAAUGUGGUUUUUGUUGUUUUUAUUUCAAAAUUCUGGAAUUUAAAUAAUAAUAAUUAAUAUUAUUAUAAUUUCAAAAUUAAAAAUAAUAAUUUUAUUCUUUUUUAAACUUUAAAUCUCAUGACAAAGAAUGUGAAUCAUUGAUAUAUGACAGCUUUUGAAGAAACCCAUCAAAUUCAAAAUAAUUUAAAUACCUGCUAAAAUUUCCAAUUAAUUCUCGAAAGUCUUUCAAAACGACGUCGCUUGGUUCGUGAUACAUGUGUGAUAAAUAUACAUUGUCAUGGGAACAUGUGAUAGAUAAAAUGUUGUCACAGAUUUGUGAGACGGGCUACAAUGACAGAUGGAAACUCUGUCAUAAGAGGGGUCGGAUGAUAGAUAUUCUCUGUCAUGGUAGCCCAUUUUUCUAGUAGUGUUCAAAUAGAAAAAUUAGUACGUUGUCAAUAUAAUUGUCUUAUAUAUGAUGCCAACAAUGAAACUAAACAAUCAUUCCCUUUAGCAUCCUUUUGGAAAAAUCUCUAUAACAAAUUGGAACAUUUUAAAAACUCAAAUCUUCAUAAAAAGUGGAGUGAGGAGUACCAUUAAUGAGUAAGUCCUGUGUUCGCACUUACAAAUACAAACACAAAGAUUAAAAUAAAUUUGAUCACUCACUAAUUGGAGUAUUUAUGUUAAACUUAUAGUUAUGUUUGGCCCUAAAAGUAUGCAAUAAAAUAACAUCAUUUUCAUAUACAAAAUUUUAUUUAUUCAUUGUUUAUUUUGACCGAACAUUAUUAGACUUAGUUUAUGAAGCAUGUAUUUUAUAUAUUGAUAAUUCUGCUGUACGGCCAAGGCGGAUGUACGGUACAGCAGGCCUAUCUAUCUUUUUUUGGUUUUUGUAUAUAUAUAACUCAUGAGAUUUAUAAUUUUUCAUUAUCAUGUUAACCCCUGGUCUGGACUGUCCUAAUAUUUAAACUUCUUUCCACCAUUUUCAAUUCUUAAAUUGACCAAUAUUUAUCUCAAUGUGUCCCUUUACUUGCCCAUUGAAUUUUGCAUCAAGGAUCUGAUGUGGUAGAAGAGAAGCUAACAAUUUAUGCGCUCGACAAUGUCUUUGCCUUUUGAAUUGAUUGAGAGAUCAUCAUUUCUUCACCCACUGGAAACUUUAGAUUAUGCUUUACGCUUUGGGCUUAUACUGGCAAGCCUACAAUCAUGGUAUUAAAGUUGGUAGAUUGAGGAGAUUCUGGUGAUUCCAGAAUUUUCUACAUUUUCUCUUUAUCUUUUGGAUUUUUAGAACUUUUUCCUUUCUUUUUAUUAGCUUGAUUUUGAUGGAUUUUAUUUAAUUAUAUAUGGAAGGUUAGAUGUUGUGCAUUAAUUAAAUUAUAGUCUUGAAAAAAUACUCUUUAAAAAAAUUCAUCUAGAAAUUUAGAAUUGAAAUCUGUCGAAGGCUAGACUAAAAGUUCUCUUCUCGUCUUUGGCAUUGCACUUGGUUUUAUAUUUCUCUUUACUAUGUACUCUGUUGCAAAAUAUUUUGUUUAUACUUAAUCUUUUAUAAUCCAGCAACUCUUAUGAAGACCUAGUCAACUGUCACUGCUACAUAAGCAUUCAGGUUAUGCUGCUUUAUCAUCAUUUUUAUUUUCUUCCAUUUUUCUCUUUUACAGCUUGUGAGCUUACUGCUUCAUUAUGUCAAUUUUCUGAAUGUGAUUUUUUAUUUUCUCUUGGGUUGUUUAUUCUCAUUUUCCCUUUAGUAUCAAAGCUGAUUAAAUCAAUUAGACACUGAUGAAUUUUAUUAUGAAUUUGAUUAAUUGUAAGUGGGCAAUAUAUUAAUAUGUAUUUUUUUGGCACUCAUUUUAUUGUAACCUAUGUUUCAGGUGAUGUUGGUGGCUUUCGGGAAUUUACUAAGAGUGUUUUUUUUAUGGAUUAAUUGUUUUUCUAGUGAUGUGUUGGUGAUUGGAUAUUGUAAAGGAUUUAUUAGAUAUUGUAUACGGAUUUGAUUCACCAUAUAUUUUGUGAUGCUAUUUGUUGGAAGUUUCAAGUGAUUGAAAUUUUUAGCGCAUCACACUAUUUGGUAUUUGAUAGUUUUUAUGAAUUUGAAUGUAAUUUUUAUUUCAAUUAAUUCAAGUUUUAAAUGUGGUUUUUGUUGUUUUUAUUUCAAAAUUCUGGAAUUUAAAUAAUAAUAAUUAAUAUUAUUAUAAUUUCAAAAUUAAAAAUAAUAAUUUUAUUCUUUUUUAAACUUUAAAUCUCAUGACAAAGAAUGUGAAUCAUUGAUAUAUGACAGCUUUUGAAGAAACCCAUCAAAUUCAAAAUAAUUUAAAUACCUGCUAAAAUUUCCAAUUAAUUCUCGAAAGUCUUUCAAAACGACGUCGCUUGGUUCGUGAUACAUGUGUGAUAAAUAUACAUUGUCAUGGGAACAUGUGAUAGAUAAAAUGUUGUCACAGAUUUGUGAGACGGGCUACAAUGACAGAUGGAAACUCUGUCAUAAGAGGGGUCGGAUGAUAGAUAUUCUCUGUCAUGGUAGCCCAUUUUUCUAGUAGUGUUCAAAUAGAAAAAUUAGUACGUUGUCAAUAUAAUUGUCUUAUAUAUGAUGCCAACAAUGAAACUAAACAAUCAUUCCCUUUAGCAUCCUUUUGGAAAAAUCUCUAUAACAAAUUGGAACAUUUUAAAAACUCAAAUCUUCAUAAAAAGUGGAGUGAGGAGUACCAUUAAUGAGUAAGUCCUGUGUUCGCACUUACAAAUACAAACACAAAGAUUAAAAUAAAUUUGAUCACUCACUAAUUGGAGUAUUUAUGUUAAACUUAUAGUUAUGUUUGGCCCUAAAAGUAUGCAAUAAAAUAACAUCAUUUUCAUAUACAAAAUUUUAUUUAUUCAUUGUUUAUUUUGACCGAACAUUAUUAGACUUAGUUUAUGAAGCAUGUAUUUUAUAUAUUGAUAAUUCUGCUGUACGGCCAAGGCGGAUGUACGGUACAGCAGGCCUAUCUAUCUUUUUUUGGUUUUUGUAUAUAUAUAACUCAUGAGAUUUAUAAUUUUUCAUUAUCAUGUUAACCCCUGGUCUGGACUGUCCUAAUAUUUAAACUUCUUUCCACCAUUUUCAAUUCUUAAAUUGACCAAUAUUUAUCUCAAUGUGUCCCUUUACUUGCCCAUUGAAUUUUGCAUCAAGGAUCUGAUGUGGUAGAAGAGAAGCUAACAAUUUAUGCGCUCGACAAUGUCUUUGCCUUUUGAAUUGAUUGAGAGAUCAUCAUUUCUUCACCCACUGGAAACUUUAGAUUAUGCUUUACGCUUUGGGCUUAUACUGGCAAGCCUACAAUCAUGGUAUUAAAGUUGGUAGAUUGAGGAGAUUCUGGUGAUUCCAGAAUUUUCUACAUUUUCUCUUUAUCUUUUGGAUUUUUAGAACUUUUUCCUUUCUUUUUAUUAGCUUGAUUUUGAUGGAUUUUAUUUAAUUAUAUAUGGAAGGUUAGAUGUUGUGCAUUAAUUAAAUUAUAGUCUUGAAAAAAUACUCUUUAAAAAAAUUCAUCUAGAAAUUUAGAAUUGAAAUCUGUCGAAGGCUAGACUAAAAGUUCUCUUCUCGUCUUUGGCAUUGCACUUGGUUUUAUAUUUCUCUUUACUAUGUACUCUGUUGCAAAAUAUUUUGUUUAUACUUAAUCUUUUAUAAUCCAGCAACUCUUAUGAAGACCUAGUCAACUGUCACUGCUACAUAAGCAUUCAGGUUAUGCUGCUUUAUCAUCAUUUUUAUUUUCUUCCAUUUUUCUCUUUUACAGCUUGUGAGCUUACUGCUUCAUUAUGUCAAUUUUCUGAAUGUGAUUUUUUAUUUUCUCUUGGGUUGUUUAUUCUCAUUUUCCCUUUAGUAUCAAAGCUGAUUAAAUCAAUUAGACACUGAUGAAUUUUAUUAUGAAUUUGAUUAAUUGUAAGUGGGCAAUAUAUUAAUAUGUAUUUUUUUGGCACUCAUUUUAUUGUAACCUAUGUUUCAGGUGAUGUUGGUGGCUUUCGGGAAUUUACUAAGAGUGUUUUUUUUAUGGAUUAAUUGUUUUUCUAGUGAUGUGUUGGUGAUUGGAUAUUGUAAAGGAUUUAUUAGAUAUUGUAUACGGAUUUGAUUCACCAUAUAUUUUGUGAUGCUAUUUGUUGGAAGUUUCAAGUGAUUGAAAUUUUUAGCGCAUCACACUAUUUGGUAUUUGAUAGUUUUUAUGAAUUUGAAUGUAAUUUUUAUUUCAAUUAAUUCAAGUUUUAAAUGUGGUUUUUGUUGUUUUUAUUUCAAAAUUCUGGAAUUUAAAUAAUAAUAAUUAAUAUUAUUAUAAUUUCAAAAUUAAAAAUAAUAAUUUUAUUCUUUUUUAAACUUUAAAUCUCAUGACAAAGAAUGUGAAUCAUUGAUAUAUGACAGCUUUUGAAGAAACCCAUCAAAUUCAAAAUAAUUUAAAUACCUGCUAAAAUUUCCAAUUAAUUCUCGAAAGUCUUUCAAAACGACGUCGCUUGGUUCGUGAUACAUGUGUGAUAAAUAUACAUUGUCAUGGGAACAUGUGAUAGAUAAAAUGUUGUCACAGAUUUGUGAGACGGGCUACAAUGACAGAUGGAAACUCUGUCAUAAGAGGGGUCGGAUGAUAGAUAUUCUCUGUCAUGGUAGCCCAUUUUUCUAGUAGUGUUCAAAUAGAAAAAUUAGUACGUUGUCAAUAUAAUUGUCUUAUAUAUGAUGCCAACAAUGAAACUAAACAAUCAUUCCCUUUAGCAUCCUUUUGGAAAAAUCUCUAUAACAAAUUGGAACAUUUUAAAAACUCAAAUCUUCAUAAAAAGUGGAGUGAGGAGUACCAUUAAUGAGUAAGUCCUGUGUUCGCACUUACAAAUACAAACACAAAGAUUAAAAUAAAUUUGAUCACUCACUAAUUGGAGUAUUUAUGUUAAACUUAUAGUUAUGUUUGGCCCUAAAAGUAUGCAAUAAAAUAACAUCAUUUUCAUAUACAAAAUUUUAUUUAUUCAUUGUUUAUUUUGACCGAACAUUAUUAGACUUAGUUUAUGAAGCAUGUAUUUUAUAUAUUGAUAAUUCUGCUGUACGGCCAAGGCGGAUGUACGGUACAGCAGGCCUAUCUAUCUUUUUUUGGUUUUUGUAUAUAUAUAACUCAUGAGAUUUAUAAUUUUUCAUUAUCAUGUUAACCCCUGGUCUGGACUGUCCUAAUAUUUAAACUUCUUUCCACCAUUUUCAAUUCUUAAAUUGACCAAUAUUUAUCUCAAUGUGUCCCUUUACUUGCCCAUUGAAUUUUGCAUCAAGGAUCUGAUGUGGUAGAAGAGAAGCUAACAAUUUAUGCGCUCGACAAUGUCUUUGCCUUUUGAAUUGAUUGAGAGAUCAUCAUUUCUUCACCCACUGGAAACUUUAGAUUAUGCUUUACGCUUUGGGCUUAUACUGGCAAGCCUACAAUCAUGGUAUUAAAGUUGGUAGAUUGAGGAGAUUCUGGUGAUUCCAGAAUUUUCUACAUUUUCUCUUUAUCUUUUGGAUUUUUAGAACUUUUUCCUUUCUUUUUAUUAGCUUGAUUUUGAUGGAUUUUAUUUAAUUAUAUAUGGAAGGUUAGAUGUUGUGCAUUAAUUAAAUUAUAGUCUUGAAAAAAUACUCUUUAAAAAAAUUCAUCUAGAAAUUUAGAAUUGAAAUCUGUCGAAGGCUAGACUAAAAGUUCUCUUCUCGUCUUUGGCAUUGCACUUGGUUUUAUAUUUCUCUUUACUAUGUACUCUGUUGCAAAAUAUUUUGUUUAUACUUAAUCUUUUAUAAUCCAGCAACUCUUAUGAAGACCUAGUCAACUGUCACUGCUACAUAAGCAUUCAGGUUAUGCUGCUUUAUCAUCAUUUUUAUUUUCUUCCAUUUUUCUCUUUUACAGCUUGUGAGCUUACUGCUUCAUUAUGUCAAUUUUCUGAAUGUGAUUUUUUAUUUUCUCUUGGGUUGUUUAUUCUCAUUUUCCCUUUAGUAUCAAAGCUGAUUAAAUCAAUUAGACACUGAUGAAUUUUAUUAUGAAUUUGAUUAAUUGUAAGUGGGCAAUAUAUUAAUAUGUAUUUUUUUGGCACUCAUUUUAUUGUAACCUAUGUUUCAGGUGAUGUUGGUGGCUUUCGGGAAUUUACUAAGAGUGUUUUUUUUAUGGAUUAAUUGUUUUUCUAGUGAUGUGUUGGUGAUUGGAUAUUGUAAAGGAUUUAUUAGAUAUUGUAUACGGAUUUGAUUCACCAUAUAUUUUGUGAUGCUAUUUGUUGGAAGUUUCAAGUGAUUGAAAUUUUUAGCGCAUCACACUAUUUGGUAUUUGAUAGUUUUUAUGAAUUUGAAUGUAAUUUUUAUUUCAAUUAAUUCAAGUUUUAAAUGUGGUUUUUGUUGUUUUUAUUUCAAAAUUCUGGAAUUUAAAUAAUAAUAAUUAAUAUUAUUAUAAUUUCAAAAUUAAAAAUAAUAAUUUUAUUCUUUUUUAAACUUUAAAUCUCAUGACAAAGAAUGUGAAUCAUUGAUAUAUGACAGCUUUUGAAGAAACCCAUCAAAUUCAAAAUAAUUUAAAUACCUGCUAAAAUUUCCAAUUAAUUCUCGAAAGUCUUUCAAAACGACGUCGCUUGGUUCGUGAUACAUGUGUGAUAAAUAUACAUUGUCAUGGGAACAUGUGAUAGAUAAAAUGUUGUCACAGAUUUGUGAGACGGGCUACAAUGACAGAUGGAAACUCUGUCAUAAGAGGGGUCGGAUGAUAGAUAUUCUCUGUCAUGGUAGCCCAUUUUUCUAGUAGUGUUCAAAUAGAAAAAUUAGUACGUUGUCAAUAUAAUUGUCUUAUAUAUGAUGCCAACAAUGAAACUAAACAAUCAUUCCCUUUAGCAUCCUUUUGGAAAAAUCUCUAUAACAAAUUGGAACAUUUUAAAAACUCAAAUCUUCAUAAAAAGUGGAGUGAGGAGUACCAUUAAUGAGUAAGUCCUGUGUUCGCACUUACAAAUACAAACACAAAGAUUAAAAUAAAUUUGAUCACUCACUAAUUGGAGUAUUUAUGUUAAACUUAUAGUUAUGUUUGGCCCUAAAAGUAUGCAAUAAAAUAACAUCAUUUUCAUAUACAAAAUUUUAUUUAUUCAUUGUUUAUUUUGACCGAACAUUAUUAGACUUAGUUUAUGAAGCAUGUAUUUUAUAUAUUGAUAAUUCUGCUGUACGGCCAAGGCGGAUGUACGGUACAGCAGGCCUAUCUAUCUUUUUUUGGUUUUUGUAUAUAUAUAACUCAUGAGAUUUAUAAUUUUUCAUUAUCAUGUUAACCCCUGGUCUGGACUGUCCUAAUAUUUAAACUUCUUUCCACCAUUUUCAAUUCUUAAAUUGACCAAUAUUUAUCUCAAUGUGUCCCUUUACUUGCCCAUUGAAUUUUGCAUCAAGGAUCUGAUGUGGUAGAAGAGAAGCUAACAAUUUAUGCGCUCGACAAUGUCUUUGCCUUUUGAAUUGAUUGAGAGAUCAUCAUUUCUUCACCCACUGGAAACUUUAGAUUAUGCUUUACGCUUUGGGCUUAUACUGGCAAGCCUACAAUCAUGGUAUUAAAGUUGGUAGAUUGAGGAGAUUCUGGUGAUUCCAGAAUUUUCUACAUUUUCUCUUUAUCUUUUGGAUUUUUAGAACUUUUUCCUUUCUUUUUAUUAGCUUGAUUUUGAUGGAUUUUAUUUAAUUAUAUAUGGAAGGUUAGAUGUUGUGCAUUAAUUAAAUUAUAGUCUUGAAAAAAUACUCUUUAAAAAAAUUCAUCUAGAAAUUUAGAAUUGAAAUCUGUCGAAGGCUAGACUAAAAGUUCUCUUCUCGUCUUUGGCAUUGCACUUGGUUUUAUAUUUCUCUUUACUAUGUACUCUGUUGCAAAAUAUUUUGUUUAUACUUAAUCUUUUAUAAUCCAGCAACUCUUAUGAAGACCUAGUCAACUGUCACUGCUACAUAAGCAUUCAGGUUAUGCUGCUUUAUCAUCAUUUUUAUUUUCUUCCAUUUUUCUCUUUUACAGCUUGUGAGCUUACUGCUUCAUUAUGUCAAUUUUCUGAAUGUGAUUUUUUAUUUUCUCUUGGGUUGUUUAUUCUCAUUUUCCCUUUAGUAUCAAAGCUGAUUAAAUCAAUUAGACACUGAUGAAUUUUAUUAUGAAUUUGAUUAAUUGUAAGUGGGCAAUAUAUUAAUAUGUAUUUUUUUGGCACUCAUUUUAUUGUAACCUAUGUUUCAGGUGAUGUUGGUGGCUUUCGGGAAUUUACUAAGAGUGUUUUUUUUAUGGAUUAAUUGUUUUUCUAGUGAUGUGUUGGUGAUUGGAUAUUGUAAAGGAUUUAUUAGAUAUUGUAUACGGAUUUGAUUCACCAUAUAUUUUGUGAUGCUAUUUGUUGGAAGUUUCAAGUGAUUGAAAUUUUUAGCGCAUCACACUAUUUGGUAUUUGAUAGUUUUUAUGAAUUUGAAUGUAAUUUUUAUUUCAAUUAAUUCAAGUUUUAAAUGUGGUUUUUGUUGUUUUUAUUUCAAAAUUCUGGAAUUUAAAUAAUAAUAAUUAAUAUUAUUAUAAUUUCAAAAUUAAAAAUAAUAAUUUUAUUCUUUUUUAAACUUUAAAUCUCAUGACAAAGAAUGUGAAUCAUUGAUAUAUGACAGCUUUUGAAGAAACCCAUCAAAUUCAAAAUAAUUUAAAUACCUGCUAAAAUUUCCAAUUAAUUCUCGAAAGUCUUUCAAAACGACGUCGCUUGGUUCGUGAUACAUGUGUGAUAAAUAUACAUUGUCAUGGGAACAUGUGAUAGAUAAAAUGUUGUCACAGAUUUGUGAGACGGGCUACAAUGACAGAUGGAAACUCUGUCAUAAGAGGGGUCGGAUGAUAGAUAUUCUCUGUCAUGGUAGCCCAUUUUUCUAGUAGUGUUCAAAUAGAAAAAUUAGUACGUUGUCAAUAUAAUUGUCUUAUAUAUGAUGCCAACAAUGAAACUAAACAAUCAUUCCCUUUAGCAUCCUUUUGGAAAAAUCUCUAUAACAAAUUGGAACAUUUUAAAAACUCAAAUCUUCAUAAAAAGUGGAGUGAGGAGUACCAUUAAUGAGUAAGUCCUGUGUUCGCACUUACAAAUACAAACACAAAGAUUAAAAUAAAUUUGAUCACUCACUAAUUGGAGUAUUUAUGUUAAACUUAUAGUUAUGUUUGGCCCUAAAAGUAUGCAAUAAAAUAACAUCAUUUUCAUAUACAAAAUUUUAUUUAUUCAUUGUUUAUUUUGACCGAACAUUAUUAGACUUAGUUUAUGAAGCAUGUAUUUUAUAUAUUGAUAAUUCUGCUGUACGGCCAAGGCGGAUGUACGGUACAGCAGGCCUAUCUAUCUUUUUUUGGUUUUUGUAUAUAUAUAACUCAUGAGAUUUAUAAUUUUUCAUUAUCAUGUUAACCCCUGGUCUGGACUGUCCUAAUAUUUAAACUUCUUUCCACCAUUUUCAAUUCUUAAAUUGACCAAUAUUUAUCUCAAUGUGUCCCUUUACUUGCCCAUUGAAUUUUGCAUCAAGGAUCUGAUGUGGUAGAAGAGAAGCUAACAAUUUAUGCGCUCGACAAUGUCUUUGCCUUUUGAAUUGAUUGAGAGAUCAUCAUUUCUUCACCCACUGGAAACUUUAGAUUAUGCUUUACGCUUUGGGCUUAUACUGGCAAGCCUACAAUCAUGGUAUUAAAGUUGGUAGAUUGAGGAGAUUCUGGUGAUUCCAGAAUUUUCUACAUUUUCUCUUUAUCUUUUGGAUUUUUAGAACUUUUUCCUUUCUUUUUAUUAGCUUGAUUUUGAUGGAUUUUAUUUAAUUAUAUAUGGAAGGUUAGAUGUUGUGCAUUAAUUAAAUUAUAGUCUUGAAAAAAUACUCUUUAAAAAAAUUCAUCUAGAAAUUUAGAAUUGAAAUCUGUCGAAGGCUAGACUAAAAGUUCUCUUCUCGUCUUUGGCAUUGCACUUGGUUUUAUAUUUCUCUUUACUAUGUACUCUGUUGCAAAAUAUUUUGUUUAUACUUAAUCUUUUAUAAUCCAGCAACUCUUAUGAAGACCUAGUCAACUGUCACUGCUACAUAAGCAUUCAGGUUAUGCUGCUUUAUCAUCAUUUUUAUUUUCUUCCAUUUUUCUCUUUUACAGCUUGUGAGCUUACUGCUUCAUUAUGUCAAUUUUCUGAAUGUGAUUUUUUAUUUUCUCUUGGGUUGUUUAUUCUCAUUUUCCCUUUAGUAUCAAAGCUGAUUAAAUCAAUUAGACACUGAUGAAUUUUAUUAUGAAUUUGAUUAAUUGUAAGUGGGCAAUAUAUUAAUAUGUAUUUUUUUGGCACUCAUUUUAUUGUAACCUAUGUUUCAGGUGAUGUUGGUGGCUUUCGGGAAUUUACUAAGAGUGUUUUUUUUAUGGAUUAAUUGUUUUUCUAGUGAUGUGUUGGUGAUUGGAUAUUGUAAAGGAUUUAUUAGAUAUUGUAUACGGAUUUGAUUCACCAUAUAUUUUGUGAUGCUAUUUGUUGGAAGUUUCAAGUGAUUGAAAUUUUUAGCGCAUCACACUAUUUGGUAUUUGAUAGUUUUUAUGAAUUUGAAUGUAAUUUUUAUUUCAAUUAAUUCAAGUUUUAAAUGUGGUUUUUGUUGUUUUUAUUUCAAAAUUCUGGAAUUUAAAUAAUAAUAAUUAAUAUUAUUAUAAUUUCAAAAUUAAAAAUAAUAAUUUUAUUCUUUUUUAAACUUUAAAUCUCAUGACAAAGAAUGUGAAUCAUUGAUAUAUGACAGCUUUUGAAGAAACCCAUCAAAUUCAAAAUAAUUUAAAUACCUGCUAAAAUUUCCAAUUAAUUCUCGAAAGUCUUUCAAAACGACGUCGCUUGGUUCGUGAUACAUGUGUGAUAAAUAUACAUUGUCAUGGGAACAUGUGAUAGAUAAAAUGUUGUCACAGAUUUGUGAGACGGGCUACAAUGACAGAUGGAAACUCUGUCAUAAGAGGGGUCGGAUGAUAGAUAUUCUCUGUCAUGGUAGCCCAUUUUUCUAGUAGUGUUCAAAUAGAAAAAUUAGUACGUUGUCAAUAUAAUUGUCUUAUAUAUGAUGCCAACAAUGAAACUAAACAAUCAUUCCCUUUAGCAUCCUUUUGGAAAAAUCUCUAUAACAAAUUGGAACAUUUUAAAAACUCAAAUCUUCAUAAAAAGUGGAGUGAGGAGUACCAUUAAUGAGUAAGUCCUGUGUUCGCACUUACAAAUACAAACACAAAGAUUAAAAUAAAUUUGAUCACUCACUAAUUGGAGUAUUUAUGUUAAACUUAUAGUUAUGUUUGGCCCUAAAAGUAUGCAAUAAAAUAACAUCAUUUUCAUAUACAAAAUUUUAUUUAUUCAUUGUUUAUUUUGACCGAACAUUAUUAGACUUAGUUUAUGAAGCAUGUAUUUUAUAUAUUGAUAAUUAAUUUCAUUUCAAUAUUGGAUGAUAUAAAUCACAAAUUUUUUAUGAAUAAAAAAUUGUACAUAGUCAUUAAUGAAUUGGACAUGUCAUUAUGUACGUAAUUUUAUACUUUUCCUAUCUCUACAAUGAGUGAUUUUUUCUUGAUCGCUAAAUUGGAGAUUUCAAGUAGAAAAGUUAAUUUGUUGUCAAUAUAAUAGUAAUACAUAUGAUGCCAACAAUGAAACAUAACAAUCAUUUCCUUUGUCAUCCUUAUAGAAAAAUCUCUAUAAUAAACUGGAACAUUUAAAAUCUUAAGUGUUUAUAAAAUAUGGAGUGAGGACCAUUAACGAAUAAGUCAUGUUCAUAUUUACAAAAACAAGCACAGAAGCACAAACACAAAAAUUGAAAUAAAUGUGAGAACAGAUAACUAUUUUUGAAAUAAUGCCCAUUACGAGCAUUACUGGUCUUUAUUGUUUGUAACCGCUACUUGAAACGCCUUUAGUGCUGCAACUAUUUGCUACUUUCUUGAAAUCCCAUCUUCGCACCAAACCAAUCUUCAAACCCGGCUAAUAAUUACUUCAUUUUAGAGCAAUUCGGAAGUCUUGUCACAAAUUUUCACCCCGAUAAGUCAGGGGUUUACUUGAUACAAAUAAAUAAACUAUUUCUUUCCGUAAGAAAUUGGUGUAAAAUCGAUUAUCCAGAUGUUAUUAUCCCAAUUUAUGAAUCUUAAUUUUCAUGAUGAGAAAUUAUGCCCCUAUUAACCAUACAAAAUAAAUUUUAAAAAUAAAAUAAAAUAAAAUAAAACCAUACAGAGUAUACAAAAAGAGAGCGGUUAAUAUUUAUUAUUAUUGUUGAAAUAAUUUAUUGAAAUUCACCUAGUGUCUGUUUAAUCUUUAUAUUUUAAAAAAUAACUCAAGACACCCUUACCGUUGAAUAUGUUACACUUAUAUCCUUACUUUUUCUUUUAAUUUAUAAUAAUAUUCUUACAACAUUAUUCUUGAGAAUAUUAAUAAAAAAUAAUUUAUUAUAUUAAACUUAAAAGUAACAUAAAAAUUAACACAAAUUUUUAUAUUAUUAUUUUACUUUUGUUAUUUCACGACUUUAUAUCGUAUUAGAAAAGUUUAAGUAACUAGUUUUGCUCCUUGUGGCUAGCUGUUAUUGGCAGCUGGAGCAUGUAAUCUUAAACCCAAUAACUUUAAGAGGAAAAUGUUAAUAAGUAUAAUUAUCACAAAGAAAUCAAAAAUAUAAAAAGUAUAAAAAUCAAAUAAUCUAAAAAUAAAAUUCCACUAUAAAAGAAAAACAAAACUAACAUUACACGAAGGAAAAUGGUCGUUAGUUUCCUGAAUACUUCAAUUAACUUCCUUAAGUUUGUUCCUGCUCCUUUAGUUUGCUGAGACAUACUGCAGUAAAUGAUGACUUUGAACGACUUGUCACUUUCUUCAGGAAAUUAAGGAAUUUGCCCAAAAUUGAAAAGUAAAGUCAUCUCUAACAAAGUUCGAAAAAGUUUCUCAAAACUCACUAACCUCGCUUCCAAUUCCUUCAUUGAUUCGCAUAUAUUCUCUGUUUUUCUUCUAUUAGUUUCUGUUAGGAAUUUUAGCAAACAUUUGAUAUGGAUAACACAAUUAAAAUAAUAGAACAAAGAAUUUCGAUUCCUAAUUUAACUGAAAAAAAAAAUCUGAAUUUCACUUAAUACAAUCACAACUAAAGUAAUCAAAAUUAAAUUAGCUGAGUUAAAAAAUGCAUGCCAUCUUCUCAUUGUUAUCAACCUGCAACUCAAUAUCGAAAAACACCGAACGUGACCCUCUGUUAGCCUUAUGCCUCUUGUCCCCUCCCUCUCCAUAGCCUAACAUCUUCCAUGUGCUUCCUAUUGGUUUUUUACCCAAUAAGUAAAAAAAGAAGGAAAAAAAAAGUUCAAAUAUUUAGCGCGAUUGAGAUUAGAACUGAUCAAGUUCUAUUCAUCUUCCUAGGACGAGAUGAAUGCUGCUCGUCCAGUCUUCCUUAGCAUUUUGCAGCUUCACACCAACAUUUUUUGACUUGGAUUUCUUGAACUGAUCAAGUUGCAGGAAAAUAAUAAUAAUAAUAAUAAAGAUUUGAAAUAGAGAGGCAAAGCUAAACGAGAAAAAGACUUGAGAACUUUAUUUAUUUAUUUAUUUUUGUAUUAGUUUGUUUAGGGUUUUAAUUCUGCUUCAUUUUUUUUUCUGUUAUAUAAAAACUUAGCAUGUUAAUAACUGAAUAUUUUAGAAGUGAGAAAACUAAAAUUAAAAAAAUGAAAAACGUAAAUUAAAUUUCCAGAGAAUUUUUUAAUUAAAUUUUAAAAAAGAAAAAAAUAAAAAAGAAGAACAGUUUCAGUUCUUUUGUAAAUAAUAAAAAAUCAAAAUUAAAUUUUAAUGAAAUAGAAGCUUUAACAAGUUAAAAAAUAUUUAUAAGUCAAGACAAAACUAUAUGCUAUAAUUUUUUAGUUUACUAACUAUAUCUAAUUAUCCAGAACAAUUUAUCAUGAAAGUUGAGGGGCACAGGUUCAAGUUCUACCGCUAUCUAAAAGUUGGUGUUAAGACUUUAGUUUUCCUCUUAUUAAUAGGUAAGGGGAAAUUAAGACUUUAAAUUAUCUCCUAUUAAUAGGCAAGCGUUAAAAGGAGAAUUUAAAAAAAAAAUCUGUGCAAAAAAGUGAAGUCUCUAAAUUAUUAAAAACUAGAGUAAAUAGGAGAAUUAAAAAAAAAAUCCUUAAAAAAAGUGAAGUCUCUAAAUUAUUGAAAACUAAAAGCGUUUGCGAGACUAAUACUUGUGUCUCAAAUUAUUGAACAAAUUUACACAAUUCUUUUAGCUACAAAAUAUUAAUGUCACUGACGACUACAUUUUGUUACACAUAUUUGUUGUUAUAAGAGAUGAUAAACUAUCCAAGAAUGUUAAAAUUUGCAGGAAUUUAUUAGUGCUAAAAAUACGAUGUCUCUGCAUAACGAAUGUCAUUAUGUUCACCAAAAGAAUAAGAAUCAAAUAGCAAAUAAAUGUGUUUUAAAAACAAAAUAACUUGGUCAAAAAGUACAGUAAUAACUAAAACAAAAUAUUCAAUUACUAUUUUUAAGAUUUUGUCGCUAUAGAAUUAUUUGUGACAAAAAAUUUGGGUGCCUAAUUUAGAGAAAGCCAAAAUAAUUUUGGAGACUAAUAUUUUUGUCAUAGCUUGUUUCACCAAAUUUAUACUCUUUUUUAGUUGAUAAUUUUUUGUCGCCUCUAAUUAUUUUUCAUCAUCACAUUUUUUUGUCACAACUGAUAAUUAAUUGUUUGGAGGAAUUGUUUUUCACUAUAUAUAUAUUAUGACCAAUGUAAUAUUUGUCACAAAAAGUUGAAUCAAUGACCAAUUAAUGCAUCCCAAAAUAAGAAUUAUUGGUUAGAAAAUAUAAUAUAAAUUAGAACUAGACUAAUAGUUUGAAAUUGUUGUAAAAAAAUCGUCUUAAAAAGUCAAAUUUCUUAUACUACACAUUGAUAUAUAUUGAUUAAUUUGUUAAUUAAUUUUUUAUUUAUAGAUAAAUUAAUUAAUGUUACGAAUAUCGUUGAAAGAGUAUUAUUAUAAAAAAAAAGAAAAAAAGGAUAAGAAUGUAACAUAUUUAACUGAAGAGGUGUUUUGAGAUAUUUUUUAAAAUAUAAAACUAAACAAACAUUUAACUCAUAAUAUAGGAAUUAAAUAAUCAUUUAUCUUUAUUUUGUAGAUAACUAGUUUUGCUGGAAACUCCCAUAUAUACAACAGAUUUGGAAACACAAUACGCCACUCACAGUCACUUGGAGAAAUUCUCAAAGAGUAAAUAUGGCAGUGAUACUCAAAAAUAUAUUCCGAAUCACUGCUUCCAAGUUGGUCACCAAUAAUAUCCAAAUCUUCACGAAAAGAAGUAUAAAAACUGCCACUUCUGAUGUUCAAAUCAUUUCCACCGAAGCAAUCAAACCUCAUCUCCAACACCAAAACAUCUCAGAACCUAUAAGCUUUCAUUGCCUGAUCAAUUGUGUUCUAAACUUUACGUGUCCCUUGUUUUCUUCUACUCGACCAAUUGCAAACAGCAAGAUCUCAGAAAAAAAUCCGAUUUGUUGAAGCAGUCUCUCGCAAAAUCAUUAACGCACUACUACCCUUUUGCUGGACGAUUGAUUGAUAGCUUUUCAGUCGACUGCAAUGACCAUGGGGCUGCAUUUACUGGGGCUGCAAUUGUUGGCUGUGAUAUAUCAAAGUUUCUUCAACCACCAGAUAUGGAGCUGCUACUACAAUUAAUCCCACCUAGUCCCCAGUUAUCGAAUUUAGAUAUUUCUGAAAGAGAACUUUUGGCAGUCCAAGUAAAUUUGUUCAGCGGCGGUGAAAUGGCAAUUGGUGUUUGUUUUUCGCAUGGAGUGGCCGAUGGUUCAGCAAUAUUUAACUUCAUGAAAACGUCGGGCGAAAUCACUCGUGGGGUGAUUAAUGAUAAUGAUAAUAUUUUCAAUAACAAUGUCGUUUUAGAUUGCACUUCUUUGUUUCCGCCGGUAAAUUUUCCGAAGCCGUAUCAAAUCGUCACAAGCCCACAAUCUUCAGGCAACAUUGUAUUCAAAAGAUUGUUGUUUGAUAGCAAGAAGAUAGCAGCUCUAAAGGAGAAGAUGAAUAAAGAGCUAAUGGGUAAUAAUUUUGAUGAUAGGUUACAAGCAACACGAUUCGGGGUUGCAUCAGCACUCAUUUGGGGUGCCUUCAUUGCUAUUGCUGGGGAAAGAAAGAGGGAAAUUCAUAACAAGUUGUAUUCUCAUGCUAUGUAUUAUACUAUGAAUGUGCGUAACAAGACGAAUCCACCGAUGAUUCCACGGUGCAGGGGUAACAUUUUUUGGUUUGCAAGGGCAGAAUGGUCACUAGCCGAGAAUGAUGCCAUAAAGGUAGCAAGUUUAGUAAGAGAAGUGAUCAAAGCAAAGAGAAUGGGAGGAGAAGUGAUGCAUAGUAAUGAGCACUUAGGUUUCAUAAAGGAUAUGGAAGAAACAUGGGAGGAUUCAAGGUCGUUUGUUUUAACUAGUGUGGUUGGAUUGCCUUGUUAUGAAGUUGAUUUUGGCUGGGGGAAGCCUGUUUGGUUCAGUGUCGGGCCCUUCUUAUUACUUGAUUUUGCAAUUUUAUCAAGCUCAAGCGAUGGUGAAGGAAUAGAAGCAUGGGUGGUAAUGUUUAAGGAGGACAUGGAUAAAUUUGAACAAGAACCUAGCAUCAAGGCUUAUGCUUCCUCUAACCCUAGCAUAUUUAUAGGGAAGUAGGAAGUUAAUUUUAUGUAUGUUGCUUUGAAUAAAAGAGUUUUUUUUCCUAAAUAGAGUAAUGAUGAUAUGCUUAUAAAGUUAAAAAUAUGUUUGUUUUACAAUAAUUAUAUCUUGUUAUUGUCAUAUGUCUCUUUAAAUAAAAUCAUGUUAUGAAUGCAUACUUUCUUUCUUUCGAUCAAUGAAACCCACCAACCAUUUUGAUGGUUAUUUUGGACAACGAGAAGGGGAGGAGGAAAAAAAAAUAAAAAUGAAUGUGAUGUAGUUAUUUUGGAUAAGCAUAGCUUCAUAUAGAUGAUUUCGAUAAAUAAAAAAUGUGAAUCAAUUCUGAAUUUGCCAAAUAAAAUGUAUGUGAUGUAGUUUUUUAUCAAGGCAACCAGCAUCUGUGACCAUUGUGUGUUAAAUCUUAAUGGGCACUGAGCCCAUUUGUGAAUAACCGUAAGAACCAUGCUAUUUCCCUCUCCCAGUCCUCACAUUGCCUCUGAAAAGGCAGUGGCUAUUCACCCAACGUUAUUUCUUAUUAAUAAUCCCCACUUUUAUUCCACUGCAAGCAAUUUAAGGAAUCAUAUCGUAUCCAAUUCCUUGCAGAAUUAAAAUUUUCUUUAUCUACUGAGUAUCCAAAUCCUUGAAGAACUAACUAUUUUCUUUCUUUGUACAACUUCUUUUAUCAGUUACAUUAAUUGGUUUAUUAGUUAAAAAAUAAUAAUAAUAAUCACGUGAUCUGCUAAUCUAUUUCCAGAAAAUAAUUCAUUUGUUUUCGAAAAAUAAAUUGAACAAGUACUUAAUAUCGUAAAGGGUGUUAUUGUUUUAAAGGGUAGUUACUGGCAAUCGCGCUCUACUGCCGAUAGCUGAAGACUAAUUAUAAUGUCAUAAUUGAAACCAAGAAAAGCCUUCAAGUCCGCACGAACGUCUAGGAAAGGAGGACACGCGUCCUUUUGUAGAGCAGCGACUGUAUCAGACACUCCCAAAGGCCCAAAGGCAACUGGAACUGAUCUAGCACAACUCAUGAUAAAAGUACAAAAUAUUGUAUAAUUUUUUUAUGGGGCAGGUUCAAUAAGGUUUGAGAAGACAAAAAUAUAAACACAAUUUUUUACAAUAAUUUUGAGUCAUUAGAUUAAACAAAAAAUGAAUGGUUACAAUUAAAUGACGUGAUUGUAUUAAUAUCAGUAAUAAUUUUUUUUCUCUCUUUUCUCAUUAAUACUCUAUUCUCUCUCAUCCUUCUACUGAAUUUGUUAUCUCUCUCCCCUAGUUCUCCACCUCCUACGAAGAAAAACCAAGAGCAAUUGCAAAUAAUUGAAUAACUUUUUCUUUCCAAAUGACAAAUCAUUUAUCCAGAGAGCUCCUUCAUGAAUGUGAAGCAUACGGAAAUCAUUCAAAUCUGAGUACAUUUAGCUAUAAGCAAGUUUCCUUAGUGCUACGAGAAUCCACCAUUAAUGCAUUUGUGACGGAGCAGGUGUAGCGGAAGUAGAAUUGAUAGGGUCGAUAAUAUUAGAUAUCGUUCUAAUAUUGUACAUCGAAGCGUGAUUAGUUCUUAUUUUAAUUAAAAAAAACUCAGUGAGAUUUUAAUAAUGCGUAAAGUGAGAUUAGAUGAUAUUCUAAUUCAAACAACUCUAUAAGAGAGUUUUUUUUUUUUUAUAGAUAAUCCCAAUAGAAAAAAGGGAUUUUAUUGAAUAAUUGAAGUUGAAGUUAUCAAAGCAAUAACAAGACCUCCCUAUUUAUAAUAGAGAAAGCCUACUUCUCUAAAUUAACUUAAAAAUGAAAACUAAAUCACAAUUAUAAUAGAAAUAAAAGAUUAAGAUACAUACCUUAAUUGAUUCUAAUUAUAGAAAAUCCUAAAAUAAUAAAAUUCUUGAAUCCUAAAAUAACAUGCUAUGUCAGUCUCACCCUCUUAAAAGAAAAUCGUCCUCAAGUUUGAAUACAAUCUGAGGAUGAAACUUGUAAUGUAAGACCAAAUCAUCUUGUAAUUUGAACCUAUAGUCUUUGUCAUCAAUCUUUGUCGAAACUUUGAAGGAUUUAUACUUCAUCAAUUUCCUUUGCUUAUACAUUCUUCGAGGCGAUGAAGACUUCAAGAGCGAACAAUGAUCAAAUAACUCUUAACCUUCCCUAUUUGUCGCUCAAUAUGCUUUCCAACAAAUUUUACCUUUCAAAUUAAAUCUUUGCAAACACAACCUUCUUGUCCAUAAUGUAAAUCCGUAGAACCAUUUCGAUCAUUGCAGUUUCUUCAACUUGAUUUUACUACACAACCUCGAUCGUAUUGUUAGGCUUAAUGCUCAAAUCAAGAGUAGGUUGUACUUCUUCUUUAAUAAUAUCUUCAUCUUAGAAAUUGUCUUUUCUUCCGGCAUCUCACACGAGUCUUCUUCCUUAACGACAGGUGGAAAUCAUUGGUACAUCUUUAGGCAUUCUCAUAGAGACACCAUUUUUUGAUUUAAUCUUUGGUUUCUUCAAUUCUUUAAUCACGUCAUUAAAGCUUCUUUUACACUGUGUCUCGAUUUGUGACUUGAUUUGUGUGCUAAAUAAAUUGCAUGUUAUAAAGUGUAGAUAGUGUAUGUAGGCAUCUUAUUUUGAAUUGAAAAGCUUAGCCCCCUAAAAGACCUUGUAAUUAUAUCCUCUUCAAGUUUAUAAUAAUAUUUGCAUCCAUAAAAUUAUUUAAACUCAUAAGCAUAAAAUCAGAUCGCAAAAUAUGCUUCAUAUGGUUCCAUGAUCAAAUUUUGCAUUUGCCUCGGUCAAGUCAAGAAUAUUACAAUUGUUCCCACCAUUCUGAAACACUAAAUCUCAAUUUACAAACAGUAAAUGAAAUUUGUUUUUCUUUAGGAGUACGCAAAACUACAAACCAAUGUUCAACCUUGUCCAACCAACCAAGAAAUUUCUCAGGACGAGUGUGUGCAAAUAAGUCCGACACAUGAUAAAUAGAAGGUAUGGACAAUAGUUUGCCAUUAAUUAUCAAGUUUCCAGACAAUUUCAAAACUCUAAAUAAUGCUCAACUCUUGCAUUUGGUGUCGUUGGCGGUUGGUUGCCAUGUUUUGGACGAGGGGCGUUGGAUCUAGAACAGACAAUAGCUCGGAGCAAGUUCAUGUCGGCUGUGACAAUCAACUUGUGUCAAUUUGAUCGAAAAAGUAACUUGAAGCAAUGGCGACUUAUAGUAAGUGUGGCUGUGAUUCAUGGCGGUUUAUAGCGGAGUUGGCUGUGAUUUGGCUGGUGGUGGUUGGUGAAAGAAAUUCUAUGAAGAGUAUAAUUCUUGUUCUGUAAUUUUAAUGAAUUUUACAGAGUUAUUUAUACAAAAUAAAGACAAAGUAACUGUUGAAAGGCUUAAUAAUAUUAAAGGAAAAUAAGUAACUUCCUAAACUAUUGCACAAUAUCUUUAUAAAAUAGGAAUGAAAUAUUCCUACAUGAUAUUGGCAUUCAAGUGUAAAAAUCGUGCUGGAGAUAUUCCUUGACAAAUAGCUUUGACGUGAGCAAGCUGUGUGGAGUGAUAAACCCUUUGUUGACUUGACCGUUGAUGACUUUCCUUUUGGUAAUCUUGGUCAGCUUGCUUAACAUCCCCCCUCAAGCUGGCAAGUGACAUUUGAUGAACGCCAAGCUUGUAUCUGAAAUCGCGGAACAUGGCUUUUGACAAAGCCUUAGUAAAAACGUCUGCAAUUUGUAACGAAUAAGGGACAAACCUCGUAACCAAGGCACCAUCAGCAACCUUUUCUCUAAUGAAGUGAUAAUCUAAUUCAAUAUGCUUCGAGCGAGCAUGAACUUCGUAACCAAGGCACCAUCAGCAACCUUUUCUCUAAUGAAGUGAUAAUCUAAUUCAAUAUGCUUCGAGCGAGCAUGAAAGACUGGGUUAAUAGUCAUAUACAAGGCACUUAAAUUAUCACUUAAAAUUUGUGGAGGUUGAGCAAGAGGAAUGCCAAUUUCUCGGUACAGGUAUGUGAUCCAUGUGAGUUCUGCUGCUGUAGAAGCAAGGGCUCGGUACUCAGCUUCAGCACUGGAUCUAGAGACAGUUGGCUGUCGUUUUGAAGACCAUGAGAUGCAAUUUGCACCCAUAUAGACACAAUAUCCCGUGGUACUUCUCCGAGUGUCUGGACAGCCUCCCCAAUCAGCAUCACAAAAGGCAGUAAUAUUAAGAGAGCUUUGUUGGAGAAAUCUGAUCCCAUAAUCCAAGCUCCCUUUUAAGUACCUGAGAAUACGUUUAACAGCACGUAAAUUAGCCUCAGUGGGUGUUUGAAAAUGUUGACAUACCUUAUUGACUGCGUGAACGAUGUCCGGCCUUGUUAGAGUGAGAUAUUGGAGCCCUCCAACUAAUCGUCUAUAUUCGGUUGCAUUGACGGGCUUGUGAUCAAUGGGGUUGGCUUGUUCUUUGAUGGCCAUAGGAGUUGACAAACUAGUGCUUUCUAGCAUCUUUGCUUUGGUCAGUAAGUCUUUGGUGUAUUUGGUUUGAGAAACAUAAAUACCUCCAGAGAAAUACCGAAUCUCAAGUCCUAAGAAGAAAUGGAGCUGUCCCAAAUCCUUUAAAGCAAACUCAAUGCUUAGUUGAUGAAUAAGUUGGUCAAUUAAAAAAGUAUUGUUGCCUGUCACCACUAUAUCAUCAACAUAAAUUAGCAUUAGGAUUAAUGAGUCAUUAUUAUGAAAUAUAAAUAAGGAAGAGUCGGCUUUACUGCAUAUGAAACCCAAUUGAAGUAAAUAAUGAGAAAGCCUAUCAAACCAAGCACGGGGUGCUUGUUUAAGACCAUACAAGGACUUGUUAAGCUUACACACAUAAUCAGGAUAUAAAGGAUUAGAGAAACCAGGAGGUUGUUCCAUAAAAAUAGUUUCUUUUAAAAAACCAUGUAAAAAAGCAUUUUUAACAUCAAGUUGUCUCAUGGUCCAAUUUAAUGUUACAGCAAGAGAAAAAAUUAACCGAAUUGUGGUAGGUUUAAUCACAGGACUAAAGGUUUCUUCGAAAUCCAAACCUGGAAUUUGUGUGUAUCCUUGUGCUACAAGACGCGCCUUGUAUUUGUCUAUGGACCCAUCUUCCUUAAACUUAGUUCGAUACACCCAUUUUGAUCCCACUAUGUUUGUAUUCACUGGCCUUGGUACCAAACUCCAUGUAUUAUUCUGAUGGAGAGCAUCAAGCUCUUCUAACAUAGCUGUGCGCCAAUGAGGUUGUCGAAUGGCGGUUUUGAAGUGUUUUGGCUCUAUUGUUGUAGUAAGAGCCAUUUUAUCAACCAACUCAGGGUGAUGACGCAACUUGUGUCUAGUUAUCAUUUGAUGAGUGUUGCUUGUUUCUGGCUCUUUUGGAAUACGAAGAUCUACAAAUAUAUCAAUGCCUUUAGUUGACUGAGGAGUAUUAGUUUCUAACUCCAAAUGAGUGCUGCCAGUUCCUAUAUUGUUCUCUGACUCUUGCUCAAUUAAAGUGAUAUCAAAUUCUUCAAAUGAUGCUGAGCUAGGGCUUAAGCUGGCUUGAUUAUCUGUAGAGGCUGAAUCGGUGUGGAUGACUAUAUCAUGAAUUUCACGUGGGACUUGUUGGCUUGUGUCCAAGUCAUGCAUGUUUGAGUUCAUUGUGUUUUGAAGACCUAUAGAGUUUGGAUUUGCAUGAGCAACUUGUUGUUGGUUUACGUGAAACUCAUGCUGGGCUUGCUGAAAUGGGGAGCUAUUUUCNNNNNNNNNNNNNNNNNNNNNNNNNNNNNNNNNNNNNNNNNNNNNNNNNNNNNNNNNNNNNNNNNNNNNNNNNNNNNNNNNNNNNNNNNNNNNNNNNNNNNNNNNNNNNNNNNNNNNNNNNNNNNNNNNNNNNNNNNNNNNNNNNNNNNNNNNNNNNNNNNNNNNNNNNNNNNNNNNNNNNNNNNNNNNNNNNNNNNNNNNNNNNNNNNNNNNNNNNNNNNNNNNNNNNNNNNNNNNNNNNNNNNNNNNNNNNNNNNNNNNNNNNNNNNNNNNNNNNNNNNNNNNNNNNNNNNNNNNNNNNNNNNNNNNNNNNNNNNNNNNNNNNNNNNNNNNNNNNNNNNNNNNNNNNNNNNNNNNNNNNNNNNNNNNNNNNNNNNNNNNNNNNNNNNNNNNNNNNNNNNNNNNNNNNNNNNNNNNNNNNNNNNNNNNNNNNNNNNNNNNNNNNNNNNNNNNNNNNNNNNNNNNNNNNNNNNNNNNNNNNNNNNNNNNNNNNNNNNNNNNNNNNNNNNNNNNNNNNNNNNNNNNNNNNNNNNNNNNNNNNNNNNNNNNNNNNNNNNNNNNNNNNNNNNNNNNNNNNNNNNNNNNNNNNNNNNNNNNNNNNNNNNNNNNNNNNNNNNNNNNNNNNNNNNNNNNNNNNNNNNNNNNNNNNNNNNNNNNNNNNNNNNNNNNNNNNNNNNNNNNNNNNNNNNNNNNNNNNNNNNNNNNNNNNNNNNNNNNNNNNNNNNNNNNNNNNNNNNNNNNNNNNNNNNNNNNNNNNNNNNNNNNNNNNNNNNNNNNNNNNNNNNNNNNNNNNNNNNNNNNNNNNNNNNNNNNNNNNNNNNNNNNNNNNNNNNNNNNNNNNNNNNNNNNNNNNNNNNNNNNNNNNNNNNNNNNNNNNNNNNNNNNNNNNNNNNNNNNNNNNNNNNNNNNNNNNNNNNNNNNNNNNNNNNNNNNNNNNNNNNNNNNNNNNNNNNNNNNNNNNNNNNNNNNNNNNNNNNNNNNNNNNNNNNNNNNNNNNNNNNNNNNNNNNNNNNNNNNNNNNNNNNNNNNNNNNNNNNNNNNNNNNNNNNNNNNNNNNNNNNNNNNNNNNNNNNNNNNNNNNNNNNNNNNNNNNNNNNNNNNNNNNNNNNNNNNNNNNNNNNNNNNNNNNNNNNNNNNNNNNNNNNNNNNNNNNNNNNNNNNNNNNNNNNNNNNNNNNNNNNNNNNNNNNNNNNNNNNNNNNNNNNNNNNNNNNNNNNNNNNNNNNNNNNNNNNNNNNNNNNNNNNNNNNNNNNNNNNNNNNNNNNNNNNNNNNNNNNNNNNNNNNNNNNNNNNNNNNNNNNNNNNNNNNNNNNNNNNNNNNNNNNNNNNNNNNNNNNNNNNNNNNNNNNNNNNNNNNNNNNNNNNNNNNNNNNNNNNNNNNNNNNNNNNNNNNNNNNNNNNNNNNNNNNNNNNNNNNNNNNNNNNNNNNNNNNNNNNNNNNNNNNNNNNNNNNNNNNNNNNNNNNNNNNNNNNNNNUGUAAUCAAAAUUUAUACCAAAAAGUUUGUAAAAGGGAGUCUUCAUAUUUAAAGUGGACGAAGGUAGCUUAUUAAUAACAUAAACAGCAGUAGAAAAAGCAUCAACCCAAUAUUGUAAUGGCAUAUUUGCAUGAAAGAGCAUUGUCAAACCUGUUUCUAUAAUAUGUCGGUGUUUCCUUUCGGCAACACUAUUUUGUUCAGGAGUUGCAGGACAUGACAAUUGAUGUUGUAUUCCACAUUGACUGAGAUGACUUUGAAAUUCAUUUGAUAUGAAUUCACCUCCUCCAUCACUUUGAAAUAAUUUUAUCCUCUUGUCGAAUCGAUUUUCAACCUGUUUCUGAAACUUGAUAAAAACAUCAAAUAAAUCUGAUUUAUUUUUCAAAGGGUAUAGCCAUGUAUAACGUGUGCAGUCAUCAACAAAGAUAGCAUAAUAUCUAAAACUUUGAACAGAAGAAAUAGGAGCAGGACCCCACAAGUCGCAGUGAAUUUUAUGUAAAGGAACGCUGGAAAUUUUAUUGGAAAAAUUAAAAGGAAGUUUGCAGUUCUUUCCCAUUUGACAACUGGAACAUACAUAAUCUUUCGUAAUCCAAUUUGAAACAUCAAUAAGUUUGUUUUUAUUCAAAAACUUAAUGGACUUGAUUUGGGGGUGUCCCAUUCUUUGAUGCCAUAUGUUGUAAGGUGCUUUCCUGCCUUCAGAUAAGUAUAGGGCUGCAUGAUGUCCUUCAUCUAAAGCAUAAAGCCCUUUUGUCUUAGUUCCCUUUGCCAAGAUGUUUCCCUGAUAAUCCUUAACAACAAACUUGUUAGAUGAAAACUCAAUAAUGCAUGAAUUAUCAUGUGUGAGCUGCUCUACCGAAAGUAAAUUAUUUUUCAAGCCUGGAACCACAAGCACAUUUUUUAAAUAUAGUUUACUAAUGCCAGUGUCUAUGGAGGUGUUUCCUAUAUGUGAAAUAUUAAGACAAUCGCCAUUUCCAACAACAAUGGCAUCAUUCCCUUCAUAAGGUUUAAGUUCAGAAAUUUUACCUGGAUCAUUGACCAUAUGGGUAGUUGCUCCUGAGUCAGCAUAUCCGUCAACAUUCAAUGGCUGUAUGUUUCGGUAAAUGACAAAUUUGACAUAUGACAGUUUCUUCAUUGACUUCCUCAGCUUGUUGUUUGGAUUGAUUCUGAAUUUUCUGCCAAGGCUGUCCAGAAUUAUUUUGCCGAGGUUGCUGCCACUGUUGUCCCGAAUUUCCUUGCCAUGAUUGUUGCCCUUGUUGACUUGGAUUAUUGUUUGAUUUUUGCCAUGACUGACUUGCAUUAUUAUUCCAACUUUUUCCACCAUUGUAGUUGAUUUUUUGACCACUUGAAUCAGCCAAAUUUUGUCCUCCUGCUGCUGUAAAACCACGACCUUUUGAGUUAAAGAAACCUCCAUUUCCACGACCUUUUCCCUUGCCUCGUUGGCUAAAAAAGGCUUGAGCCAGAUUGAUUGUAUUCUUCUUUUCUUCUUCAAAAUUAAUAAGAGUUUGUUCAUGAUUUUCGAGGGCCAUGACAAACUGCUUAAAUGAGGGAUAAGGUGGUUUUGAAAGUUGAGCAAGUUUGAAGUCUUGAUACCUGUAGCCAAGACCUCUUGCAAGACCAAAGACUUUAUCUAAGUCAUUCACUGGUUUAUUUAUUGCAGCCAAACAAUCACAAAUAUGCUUGUAUUUGCGCACAUACUCUUCAACUGAUAGAGAUCCCUUUUUAAACCGAGAGAAUUACUAUAUUUACACAAUUAACCUUGGCUAGAAUUAAUUGUGCAGAUUGGAUGAUAACUAGAGAAUAGAAAUGAAGAAAAGGAAGCACACAACACCGAGAAGAGUAAUAAUUAAUGCUGCCAUUGACGAAAUGUUUUAUAUUACUCUUCUUUCUUGGUAUUUAUUUAUUUACAAUUUUUAAUGUAAAUGUACAGUUGUUGGGCUAAUAUCUUAUUUACUUUUGAACGUAUUAGAUGCCUUUUUUUUUUCUUGGUUCAUAAUAAUUUUGUAGAAAUUCCUCAAGUUUGCCUAAAUGUUUACAGAGUUAUUUAUACAAAAUAAAGACAAAGUAGCCGUUGAAAGGCUUAAUAAUAUUAAAGGAAAAUAAGUAACUUCCUAAACUAUUGCACAAUAUCUUUAUAAAAUAGGAAUGAAAUAUUCCUACAUGAUAUUGGCAUUCAAGUGUAAAAAUCGUGCUGGAGAUAUUCCUUGACAAAUAGCUUUGACGUGAGCAAGCUGUGUGGAGUGAUAAACCCUUUGUUGACUUGACCGUUGAUGACUUUCCUUUUGGUAAUCUUGGUCAGCUUGCUUAACAGUUGGUGAGUAUAAUGGUGGUCAUAUAAAUCCUUUUUCAUUUUUUUUUAAUUGUUGUAUGGAGAAAAAGAGAGAAAAGCAAAAAUUGGGCUGUCGACUACAUAACUCGCUGGGAUAUAUGUACGUUAAGGAAAAUUCUAUGAUACCGUGAUCAAAAUUACAUAUCAAUACUGUGAUAAAUAUAAAUUUUGUAAAUUACAAAUAACACUAUUAAAUGAAAUAUAGAAUAAGUAAAUUAAUAUAAGAGUUGGUGUUUUAAAACUACAAACAAAAAAACUUAUAAAAAUAAUAUAAAACUUAUAAAUCAACAUUAAACUUUGACCUAUAAAAUAGCUAAUCUAAUUUAUUUAAGUAAAAAAAAAAUCACUCAUCAAUUGAAAACAAAAAUUUACAUUGGAAACAAUUAGAAUAAGUUUUAUUAAAUUGGUUUAACUAUAAAUUCUAUAUCUCAUGUUAGGAAAUUUAUAAUUUUUUUUUCAUUUUCUAUCACAAUAUAUGUUUAUUAUAUAACUUAAUUAGUAAAAUUAUUUUUUUUAUGAGGAUCAAGCCAAAAAAAAAUAAAAUAAUUUUUUUAAAAAUUUAAAUUUGAGAAUAAGUUUUAUCUUAAUAAAAUUUCACAUGCAUCAUCACAUGUAUUAGAUAAAUCCAAAAUUAUCAUUAUUUAAUUUAGAAAUAAAGACAAUAAAUAUAUAAGGUAAUCGUUUUUAUAUUGAGUUUUUAUUUUACAUUUGCAAGUUUUUAUUUUUUAUUAACUUUUAUAUUAUUUGUUUGUUUUAUAUUUCAUUUACAAGUCUUCUAUUUCAUUUACAUAAUUUAUAUAUUAUUUGGCACUUAAUUUUGGUUUAUAGGAUUUACGUUAUAUCUAUAAGUUUAUAUUCAUUUGUUUACCAAUAAUACAUCAUUCUACCAUUCAUAUAUUAAUUAACUUAUUUUACCUUCUAUUUACAAGUCCCUUUUUUUUUACUUAAUUCAUGUUUUAUUUUACACUUAAUAUUAAUUUAUAAGUUUUAUGUUAUAUUAAUAAGUUUUGUUUUAUUUAUCAAUAAUAUAUCAAUUUACAACUCCUUUAUUAAUUUAUUUAUUUUACCUUUCAUUUACUAGUUUUAUGUUCCAUUUGCACGAUUUAUAUUUUAUUUUGCACUUAAUAUUGAUUUAUAAGUUUUAUGUUACAUGUAAAAAAAAAAAUAUUUAUCAGCAAUACACAAAUUUACCACUCCUAGUUAAUUUAUUUGUUAUACCUUCUGUUUACAAGAGUUAUGUUCUAUUUACAUAAUUUAUGUUUUGUCUUGUACUUAAUGUUGAUUUACAAGCUCUAUGUUAAAUUUGCAUAUCUAUGUUUCAUUUAAACAAUUUAUGUUUAACUACAAUAUUGAUGUUUUGAUUUUAAUCACAACAUUAUAGAAAGACCCAUAAGCUAAGUUAACUCUAUUGAUCUCCUAUCAAAUAUCGUAAAUGACAUCAGAAGUCAAGUUUAGCUCCUAUGGUAACGAGUGUGAGUAGUGAGUCUAAGGAUGGAAAAUAUCCUGCCAUAUCUAAGAUAUUAUUUAUCCAAGUGUAAAUUCAUAAUUAUCCAUGAUGGAUUCAUCCAUAUCCAUGUCUAGUUCAGAUACUCUAUAUGGAUAUAGAUUUUAUCCAUAUAGAUAUGGAUAUCCAUGGAUGUCCAUGGACAUUAAAUUUAAAUUUUUAAAUUUGAGAAUUGUGUAACAUAUUAAUAUGGUAAAAACUAAUUAACAAUGUAUUACAUCAAGAAAUACUUCUCAUUUUUUUUAUAUUUCCUAAAAUCAUUAAUUUUAAAAUUUAAUCAAAAUUAUUUUGUUUAAAAACACAAUUCUAAAAUAAAAUUACAAGCAUUAAUGUUUUGGCCGGUUGCGCUAUGGUGGGCAAUAAUAAUGGUGGUCAACUAGUGACAAAUCUCAUACCAUUUGUUGAAAAUGUACUGAGGAUCUGGUUGGUUAAUAAGAAAAUAGAGGAAAAUGAGGAAGGAUGAAGAAAAGCUUGAGCUAAAAACUAAUUCAUUACUUCAGAACUUGAUUUCUAUAUUCUUUCUAAUGACUAAUAUAUAUACUCGAUUACAUGCUAGAAUCUAUUAUAAGAUUCAUCUAGAAACUUCACACACCACACACGGCUAGCAAACAUAGAUAACUAAUUGACCACGUCAGCAUAACUAAAGUUUACUAAGCUAUUGAUUGACUACAAUGCUUAUAGUGCUCUGCAAUAUAUCAAGACUCUAUAUCACCAUCAUCAUUACUAAACUCUCUAACAUCCCCCUUCAAGCUAAAUAAGUCUAGAAGAAUAUUUAGCUUGCACCUCAGAUAAUGAAAUUGGCCAUAAUUAAGAGCUUUGGUAAGAAUUUUAGCCGUUUGAUCAUUACUGGGAACAAAGUGAAUGCUAAACUGCUUGGCUGCAACUUUUUCCUGUACAAAAUGAAUAUCAAGUUCAACAUGCCUUUUUUUUUUUUAUGAUACACUGGAUUGUUGGCCAAGGCAAUGGCACCUUAGUUGUCACACCAAAAUAAUAGGCAUAUUGGACAGCUUAAAAUGCAACUCUAAUAACAAAGCUUGUAUCCACAUGAUUUCUGUAGUGGCGAAGGCUAAAGCUCGAUAUUUUGAUUCAGUACUUGAUCUAGAAACAACAUGUUAUUUUUUGGAUAUCCAUGUCACUAGAUUGUAACCAAGAAACAAAGCAUAGACAACAACUGAUUUUCUGCCAUAUCACAGGUCCAGUCAACAUCUGUAAAACACUAAAGAUCCAUAGUACCAUGCUGAUAAAAUUCCAAUCCAAAAUGAAUGGUGCCUUUGAGAUACCUUAGCAAUCUCUUGCAAGCUUGCCAAUGUUCUUCAGAUGUAUUAGAAAGGAAUUGACUCAAUUUAUUCACAGGAAAUGCAAUCUCAGGUCGAUGAAGAGUAAUAUACUGUAAUGCCCCAACAAUGCUUUUAUAUUGUGAAGCAUUAUUAAUAGCAGACCCUGAAUUCUUUGUAAGAUGAUGAGAAAGAGUCAUAGAAGUGAAGCAAGGACUACAGUUAGCCAUCUUAUGCUUCGCUAACAAGUAUGCAAUGUACUUGGCUUGUGACAAAUGUAGACUUUGAGUUGUUUUAGAAACCUGAAUCCCCAGAAAGUAAUUUAAAUCCCCUAAGCCUGUAAGAGCAAAUGUAUGUUGCAUGUUGGAGAUAACUUGAAGUACUAAGGAAGAAUUUGAGCCAGUGAUUAGUAUAUCAUCAACAUAUACCAGAACUAACAAAAUAUCAAAACCAUGUCGUUUAUAAAACAAUGAAAAAUAUGAUCUGCAAUUAAGAAAAUGCCACUGGUUUACCAUAGAAUAUUUAAGUCUCUCAAAUCAAGCUCUUGGAGCUUAUUUGAUACCAUAAAGAGCUUUAGUAAGCUUACAAACAUGAUGUGGCUUGGCUGGAUCAAUAAAACCUUCUGGCUGAGUCAUAUACACUUCUUUUUUAAGAAAACCAUUUAAAAAAGCAUUAUGUAGAUCAAUUUGUCUAAUCAUCCAUUUUUGUAUGCCAGCUAUGCUAAGAACAAUUCUAAUUGUUGAAGCUUUCACAACAGGACUGAAUGUCUCAUUAUAAUCUACCCCUUGAGUUUAAGAAAAAUCCUUUGGCUACAAGUCUAGCCUUUAUAUCUAGAGACACUGCCAUCUGAAUUAUAUUUAAUCUUGAAUACUCAUUUGAUGCCUAUAAUCUUGAUAGGGGAAGAGGGUUGAACUAAUAUCUAGGUCUGAUUUGCUUGUAAGGAGUUAAAAAAACUAAUGUCUAGGUCUGAUUUGCUUGUGAGAAGUUAAAUUCUUCUUGCAUAGUCUUAUACCACUUUGGAUCUGCUAACACUGAACUACAGAAGUGGGUUAUGAUAGAGUAGUAAGUAGAGCUGCUAUAUAGGAUUUUUGUUUAAAAAUCCCAGCCUUAGACCUGGUAAUCAUGUGAUAACUAGAAGGUUGAGUUCAAGGAAAAAUAUGUGGUGGUGAGGGAAUAAGUAAGGACUCAUUAAAGUCAGUUUGAGAAAGUGGUAAAGGUAAAGACUCAGUCUGAUCAUUUAAUGGAGAUUAAUGAAAAGAAUGAGAAAAUUGUGAAUCAAGCAAAAUAGUAUAAGAAAUAGAAGGAGUUACCUGAGAAGUGGAAGGAACUUGUGAACUAUUUGUUGAGGAGGGCGUUAAGAAGACUCGUAUUAGUGGAGUUAAAACAGCAGUUGUGGAUUGCGAAACUAAGCUGGUUGAAUCAAAAGAACUAUGAUAAACUAAAGAAAAAUCAACCCCUUGCUAGUAACGAAAAGAAGUCUCUUCAAAGACAACAUGAUUAGACACAUAAAUUCUUCCUGAAGAGUGUAAGAAUUGGUAUCCUUUAUGAUGAGGACUCUAUCCAAUGAAAAUACAUCUUCUUAUUCUAAAUUCCAGCUUAUGUCUGUUAUAUGGUCUCAAAUAAAGAAAACAAAAGCAACCAAACACUCUUAACAAACUAUAAUAAGGUUUUUAAUGAAAGAGCUUGAAAUAAGGUGAUUCGUUUUGAAGAACAUGUGUUAGCAGCCUAUUAAUAAGAUACAUUGUUGUGUGGAAUGCAUUCCACCAAAAAGUGAGAGGAAGUUUAACUUGAGCUAGUAAAGUGAGUCCAAUAUCAACUAUAUGUCUAUGUUUCUUUUCAACUCUACCAUUUUGGUGAUAAAUGUGAGGGUAUGGAUGUCUGAAAUGUAUCCCAGAAGAUAAGAGCAGAGAAGAAAAAGAUAUGAACUCUCAUGAAAGUCUUAAAGGUUGUAAAUACCCUCAAGGCAUCUGAUUUAGCUGUUAAGGGAAAAAUCCAAGUAAACCUGUUGUAAUCAUCUAAAGUAGACAAAUAAUAGAAAUAACCUUGAGUGGAUGCAGUAGAAGAUGGCCCCCAAACAUCAGCAUACAAAAGCUAUAAAAGUUUAGUUGUUUUUAUGUUGAAAGAGUUAAAAUAUUGAAGAUGACUUUUUCCAUACUGACAUGUAUCACAAAAGCUAAGUAUUGAGAUUUUAUUUAUAUCAGCAAAUUGAUUACAAGAUUUCAAAACACAUUUAAGUGUAUGAACAGCUGGAUGUCCUAGCCUUUUGUGAAGCAAAUCUACAUUAUUGGAACUAGAAGACACUGUGAAAGCAGCAGGAGUACAACACUAAUUGUUUAUUUUGAAAUGAUCAUAAGAAAAACAAACAGACAUAGCAGGACCAAACAGACAAGCAAAACGAGACAUUGGUUUGUUUUGAGCUAAGUAAGAAAAGAAGGCUGAAUUUAAACUUUGAGAUGAGGAAGAUAGGCUGACUUUAUUAGAUGCUGCUUAAACUUAAUACAAGCCUUUGUGAGCCACCCCUUUAACUAGAGUAAUCCAUGUGUUCCUGGCCUUGAUAUACUAAACAUUAUCAACAAAUUCAACAAGAACAUUGUUAUCAAUUAAUAAUUUAGACACACUAAGCAAAUUUUUAGUUAUGUGAGGAACAUGAAGAACAUGAUGCAGUACUAGAUGUUCAUGAGUAUAAGUAUCAAACAAAACAGAUCUAGUGUGUGUGAUUUGUAGGCCUUUGUCAUCACCAAAAAGCAAUCUCCUAAACCAAUAUAACCAUGAGAGUUAAGUAAUAUACCUGAGUUGUUGGUGCCAUAAGCUGAGGCACCACUGUCUAUAUACCAGAAAUGAUCUUCUAUAACUUCAGGUGAAGGAAGAUUAAGAGCAGAAGGGUUAGCAAACCUUGCUGAAAUGUCAGAAACACCAUUCUGGCAAUUAAAAGCUGCUAGUGGAGAGAUUGAAGAACUAGCUCCAGGAUGAGAAAACAUAGAAGUAGAUCCAUAAAGGAUUUAAAUCUGGAUAUACCAAAUUUCCUUGAAAAUCAUAACCUCUUGUGCCAAACUGUCCAUUAAAACCUCUACCAAAUCCAAUAAAGGAUCUAAGCACAAAACCUCUGCUAUAGCCAUAAGUUGGCCUAUAAUUUCCUCUACCUCCUCUACCAUAGAAUGUUUUAGGCACAAAAGCUGGAUUAAACAUGCUUUUGCAUUUAUGUGCUCUAUGUCCUGGCAUAAAACAAAUCUGACAGACUAUUGAUUCAAAAUUACUUUCACUGUUAUUAGGUUGUCCUGGAUUUGUCACAUCUCUAUUAAAACCUUUUUGAUUACCAAAAUUAUUCUUAUAUUAACCUUGAUUUUCUUGAGCAAAAUUUACAGUCAGAUUAUGUACAACAUCAGAAUUAAGCUUGCUUCUUUUUUUUUUCUGUUCAAUCCUCAUCUCAUGACUCAAUAAUAAAUCAUACAAGUCAUCUAAAUUCAUACUUUCACCUCUAGCUAACAAGCUCGUAACAAGUGAAUCAUACUCCUAAGAUUCUAAUCCUAUCAUUAUGUAUAUAACUAGAUCCAUAAGCUCAACAAGUUUCCCAUCGAGAGUAUCAGCUAACCUUUUCAUUUUAGCAAAAUAUGCACUCAAAGUCAUUGAACCUUUUUUAGCAAUUUAUAAUUGCAUUUUAAUUGGCAUAAUUCGAGCUUGAGUUUGAGAAACGAACAUAUAAGUUAAUGAAUCGCACAACUCUUGUGAUAAAGCACAGCGAAUGACUGAAGAUAAAAGACUCUCUUGAAUUGAGGACAUCAUCCAACUGAGUAAUAUCUGAUAUGUUCUGAUCCAUGUUGAGAAUGCAAGAUUAUCAAUUCUUGAUCCAGAUCCAUCAUUUGAUCAGCCAGUUGCACCUGUAUUUUGAUAGAGAUAUUGAUCUGGACAUUUGUUUUCUCUAGGAUAAAACCUUAUGUUAAGACUUUUAAGCCUAAAUCACAACAAGACUCACGAAUCUUGAUGAGUAGAAACACCAAGAACACAAACGAAUCAAGAAAGCCAGAACAAAGAAGCUAUACCAGAAACAAAACAAAGACACAGACCAACAAAUUUAGAAGGAAAAUUUACUCAUUAUUAUUGAUCAAGAACUAACCCAAUCACAAGUGAUUUACAGAAGAUUAUGCACAGAUCACAAUGGAACAGAUUCUAUGCAAAAUGAUGAACAAAUGAAGACGAUAUUAGCACUAUAUCAGGCACCACUCGUUAGCCUCUGUUUUAUAUCAGUGUGUUGGGUUCGUUAUAACAGAUUAUAACGAAUCCAUGCCACGUCAGCAGAAAGUAUCAAAUAGACCCCAUCAACUGAAGUCAAUCUGCACAACAGCUCUCUACCUUUCCAGUUUCUUCAUUUAGGUCCACAUACACAUAUCUUCACACCUUCUAGUCCAUUGCCUUUGAUUGAUGUGAGAACUUGAGUUCUCCAGACAAUGAAAUUAUUUGAUCAAAUUUUAUUGGUGUGACGAAGUUAUAGGAGUUCAUAUUUUGAUUUUGAUUAUUAGAAAGCUCUGAUACCAUGUUGAAAAUGUAUUGAGGAUAUGUUUGGUUAAUAAGAAAAUAUAGGAAAAUGAAUAAGGAUGAAGAAAAGCUUGAGCUAAAAACUAAUUCAUUACUUCAGAACUUGAUUUCUAUAUUUUUUCUAAUGACUAAUAUAUAUACUCGAUUACAUGCUAGAAUCUAUUAUAAGAUUCAUCUAGAAACUUAUCACACUACACACGGCUAACAAAGAUAGAAUCUUAUAACUAACUGACUACGUCAACAUAACUAAAGUUUACAAAGAUACUGACUGACUACAAUGAUUAUCAUGCUCUGCAAUACAUCAAGACUCUAUAUCACCAUCAUCAUUACUAAACUCUCUAACAUUGAACUCAAAAUUUUUUAUCCAUGCAAUGAUAUAGAUUUCAUCAUCAAAUACUAAAUGUGGCGGCUCGAAUGCCACCGAAAAUGGUGGCGGCAACUUGACUCCACCUUCUAAGCAAUUCAAUGAAGUGCAGCACCGCCUAAAUCAACAUCAUUGACGUUCGAAGUGUUUGAUCGACAUUACGGUAUCCAGCACCAUAUGGUCGUUUGAUGCCGGUGUUAUGUAUCCACCACAAUUUUUUGUGGCACUUGUGCCAUCAGUAUUUUGUUUUGACUAACAAGUUUAUGAGUUUAGAAGUAAUAACUGAUUUUGAUAUCUUUUCGAUCAUCCGCCAAACUUCUUCUUCUCUCAGGGGUAAAAAAUUUUGCACAUUGCUAACUAGAUGAAUGGCCAUAUUUUUCUUGUCUUUCUUCAAUACUCAUUGUAGGGUGAAAGUGCCAUUUUGCCAAAUCUUUAAGCAAUUGUAAGAUAGCUUCUAUUGUGCUAGUAGGGUGUGGCCUAGUACAAAAUUGAAGGUCAUGGGUUCUUAAUAUCUCUUUAUCCAUUGUUGCUAAGGUAACUGUUAAAGUCAUGGCUGGCACCGCCCAUUUAAAUGAGCGGUGCCAUGCCAUUCAACAUGGCCCGCCAUUCUUGGUGGUGCCGUGUUGACUUAUUAAAAAAAAACCAAAAUUUUAGCUAUAUAAAGAGGGCUUCCCACCCUCAUUUUGGCAUCCCAUUGAGAGAGAAGCAAUUCAACAUUUUAGAGAGAGAGUUUAGAGAGCUUGAAACUAUAAGCUCUUGUUAUAGUGAUUUGAGAGAUUAGGUGUAUUGGGUAAUGAGAUAAAAUACCACAAUACUUGUAACUCCUUUUCACUAAUAAAAUAUUUUCCUUCUGUCUUCGCCCGUGGACGUAGGCUAAAAGCCUAAUCAUGUAAUUUCUAGUGUUAUUUGUAUGAUUUUGUGUCUCAUUAUUUCUAAAUUUCACUUUAGUUGUGUGUCUGUUUCACCCAUCAAUUUCCCAACAAUAACCACUAGGGUUGGACAAAACCAAGAUGAAUAAGAGGGCCAUAUUUUUUAGAUAGUUACCAAAAUGACACGAGACUUUGAGAAAUAAAACUGGUGUAAGUUGAUGAUAAAGGGGAGCCCUAACGAAAUUGAAAACAACUUUUAGUUUUUUUUUAAAAACGAAUUGUUAACAAUCUACAGAUAUAUAUACUCUCUGAAACCUAAUGGGAUUCUAGAUACAUGUAGUAAAACACUAAAACUCUAGAUACAGGUACGUAAAAUCUACUUUUUUCUUUUGAUGUUUUUACCCUAGAUACAUGAGUUCGAAAAAUAGUUGACGUAGCGAUCGUACUAGUGAACGUUGAAAAAAUGAGCAGAAAAUGAUAAAAUUAGACAUAAAGGAGUUUUAUCGUUUUUCGUUUAUAUAAUUACAUUUAUUCGUUUAUAGGUUGGGAGAACGACUUUCGAGUUACUAAUAAAGGUCUUUGUCAUGUGACUUACCAAGCAAAUAACUUAUUAAAAUGGCAAUUAUUGAUCACUUAAUUUAACUAGUCGAGCUUCGUGGUGAUGCAGGAAGCUGGUCGUCAAGCUGAUCUCAUAGGCUGAGUACAAUCGAAGAAAAUGAAUAAUAUUAUUAGAGGUUAUUUCUGUACGUGUAUAUAUAUUUUUGUCAUUAGAGAGAACAAUAGAUGAAAUAUAUAUAUAUAUAUAUAAGCUUAGAAUAUUAUUCACAUAGACAUCAUUAUUCGUUACACAUAACUAAGAAAACAAAGCCUUGUCCAUCCAAGGAGGUGCCUUAACUAAUUUACAUACUCAUGGUCCUUAGCCAGAAGGAAAAGAUAAUUCUUCUUAUGCACCGCAAUUCCGGGCAGAACGUCAAAGUCCAAGUCUUGGUUCUUCAUUCCAGGCGGCAUUUCCCAAUCAAAUUUGUAAAGAAGAUUGGCAAGUGCAAGUUCCACAUUUGCAGUUCCCAAAUGCAUUCCAGGACAGAUUCUUCUGCCGGCACCAAAUGGUAUAAGCUCAAAGUUUUGCCCUUUAAAGUCAAUAGAACGAUCAAUAAAUCUCUCAGGAUUAAAUUCCUCAGGAUUUUCCCAAGCUUCGGGAUCUCUUCCUAUCGCCCAUGCAUUUACGUAAACGAGUGUUUUAGCUGGAAUUUCAUACCCGUCUAUUGUGCACUUUUCGAUUGUUUCUUUGGGGACUAGUAAGGGAACUGGCGGUUGCAAUCUCAUAGUCUCUUUCACUACAGCUUUUUGAUAAUGUAGUUCUUGAACAUCAUCUUCAUCUACAAAGCUUUUUUUGCCGCCAACCAAAGAUCUAAUUUCUUCUUGAACCUUUUUCAUUACUCUAGGAUGCUUCAUUAGGUAGGUCAUGACCCAAACCAGAGUCGCAGCGCUCGUAUCUGUUCCAGCAACGAAUAUGUUCUGCAAAGCAAACAACAUAUAUAUUUGUGUGUGUGUAUAAAUAUGUAUAUGUAUAUAUAUAAAUUAUUUAAAGCAACAAAAUUAUAUUAGAUUAGUUAUACAGGUAACUAUUUAUAAUAGACUUUUUGUUAAUUACGUACCAUGAGCACUGCUUUGAUGUGAUCCAAAGUUAGGUCAACUUUGAAUCCAUGAUCUUUUCGAAUUUGAAGUAAAACAUCAACUAAAUCCUCCUGCCGCACCUUUGCUUUUGUUCUUUUUGGAUCUAAAUGCUCGUCGAUGAGUUCUUGAUAGAAUCUAUCAGAUUCUUGGAAGUUAUUUUCCAGGCGACGAAUCAUUCCUGUGAGUUUAUCAAUCCAGCCCAUAAAAGGAAAAUAAUCCGUAACGAAAAAGCCUAUAGACAAGGCUUGAAUUUCAUUAAGCAGUGUAUGGAAUCUGCUUCUUUCAGUUAUUGUUUCACUUUCAUCACCAGACCUCUUGCCAAAACCAAGUCUACAAAUGAUAUUGCAAGAAAGAGACAUCAUUAUCUCACUUAAGUUGACUUGUUUAGAAGCAGCAGCUGAUUUUGAUAUGGAUUCAAUCAUUCUUGAAACUUCAUCUUCUCUAAUAGGUCGAAAAUUUUGUGCUCUAUUAGAGUUAAAGAGAUGAAUGACACAUAUUUUUCUAAUCUCUCUCCAAUACUCACCAUAGGGUGAAAAUACCACGUCCAAGCCAUUAUAAGAUAGCUUUUGUGUCGCUACCAGAGCUGGCCUACUAGAGAAUUGAAGAUCAUGGCUUUUUAAAGUCUCUUUAGCCAUUUUUGCUGAGGAAACAACUAGGGUUGGCACAAAACCCAGACGCAAUGACAUGAGAGGGCCAUAUUUUUUAGAUAGUUCCCAAAAUGACACAUGAGGCUUCGAGACGUCAAACUGGUGUAAGUUACCUAUAAAGGGAAGACCCUGGGGGCCUGGUGGUAAUUUAAUCUUUUUCUGAUGAUAAGUGUUUACGGAAAACAAGAAGAGGCAGAUUGGGAGAGAAAGAAGGAUGAUGAUGACAAGUAAAUCCAUUAUUGCUUAUGCUCCCUACUGCAAUGACUGAACCUCGAUCUAUAAAUAAGGAAACAAAAUGCAGUUUAGUAACAUCAUUAGAGGACUCUCUUUGUAUUUUGUGCUCUUGUCAAGUCCUUAUCUUGUGAUUUUGCUUAAGGAAACAGAUUUGACAACUUUCAUAAAAGUCAACAAUGAUAAAAAUUUCCAUAAUGAAAUUUCGUUUUCAGCAGAUCAUGUAUACCAAUUCUUGCGAGUUUUGUAGAACGAAACUUAUCAGAAUCCUAGGUGUGAUAACGUUGGUAAAAAGUCAGCAACAAUCAAAAUUUCAAUAAUAAAAUUUCUUUUUUAGCUAUUUACCAAUUCUUGUGAGUUCUACAAAACGAAAAAGAUUCGAUAACUUUGAUUAUAAGUCAACAAGAAUUGAUUAAAUGGCUCUACAAAAGAGGUUUAGAUACAUAUCCCGAGAAAAAAAUCUAUGAAAUAGAUAAUUUUAUUGAAAAAACGUUGAUUAGAUUAUUGAGAUUACAACCCUACUUAUGUUAGACUAUAAUCAAUCCUAACCACCUCCCCCUCUCCCCCCCCAACACCACAAACAAAAAAAUCCAAUUAAUUAAAAAAAUAGGUAAUUUAAUUCUUUUUACAAUUUUUUUUUGGACAUACAUGAGUUUCCACGAAAAUUAAUAUAUUCUCUUUUUAUUUCCAUUUUAUUUUUAGGGUUAAAUUGGUAAUUUAUUUUUUUAAUUAAUUUCAAAAAAAGAAAUAUUACUAUAAGAGGGUAAUAUUGUAAAAGCCAAUAAAAAGAAACAAAAAGUAAUGAUGGUGGAAAUGUCCCGAUGUAUUUUUAAAAAUACAUAGACUAAACAAGCACUAACGUCAAAAUAUAAGGAUUAAAGCAGUUUUUACCCUAUAAAAUUAUAUAUAUUUUUAUAAUACUAGAUAGAGAACAAAAAUAAUUGUUUCCCAAUCUCAUCUUGAUCUCAAAUGAAAACUAGUGGUAAAAAGUCACUAUCUUCUACAAUAGUGUCUUUUUUUAAAUUAAAAAAAAAAAGGUAAACCUGGUGAGUACAAGGGAAGCUUUAUUUAUUAAAAAGGUUAGGGGGAUAUAAUAAGCCUUAAUCAUUAUGCAGUGCAUAAUGCUAAUAAAAAAAAUGCGCUAGAGCAUUACAAUAAAAUCAAAGAAAUGCGUGAUAAAGCCAACACACAAAGCUUACAAGAAUUAAUGAAACCUAUAAACAGGGAGACUAUUAUUUUAUAAUACUGCCAUGUCAUAUGGCACAUUAUCCUUUUAUUAGAUCACUAAGGUCAUCCUAUAAAAAUAAUGAUUAAUUUAUUGAGGAAACAGAAACUUCAAGAUUGAUAAAAGAUAGAAAAAUACAAGUUUUUGAAUGUUUGAAAUUUUAUAGACAAAAGUCUCAAUAAAAAAACUAAGAUUUUAUGGUCCUUCUAUACUAAUUCUAAAUAACUUGAAUUUUACAAAAAUUAUUAAAUAAACUUGGAUAUUAUUAUAUAAUAAAAUUCUACUAACAGAAAUAAGGAAACAAAAUAAAUAGUACUCAAAUCCAACUCUUGAGAUAGCAAGCUUCUUCCUUGAGAUCUUAUCAAUUUUUUGACUAAAUUCAUAACUAAGCUAGCUUUCGGAUAUGAAUAGAAGAGUUAGGCUCAUCAAAAGCAAGAUAAUGACAAAGAUUUUUACAAUUUUUCUUUCAUCAAUUUCUUUAAAUUUCAUGAAUGUUUCGUGGUACUAAUGAUGUAAAAGUUCUUCUUAUCCUACUACCACAAUGAAAGCUGUGUUCCAAGUUUUUCAAACUACACCUAUAAUAAAUAAAAUUAAAGAGUCAAGUCAAGGCUUGGGUCACGUAAUCAAGUAAUUUUUAAAUGGUUACGUAAAUUGGUAAUAACUGAUAAACAAUUUUUUUUUUAACUGCCGAUAUUUGUUAUUUACGCAAAUAUAUAUGUUUUGCGCGGCUGAUUUAGGAACCCCUGCAAAGUGGUGGCAAGGAAUCAAUAAUCUAAGUUUCAAAUUUCCGCAGCAAAACACAUUUUCUUUUUUUUUUAAUUGAUUAUAAAUAUAAUCAAUAAUCUACAGAAUACAAGAACGAAACUUCUUCUCUCUCUCUACAACUCUCUUUCUCUACUCGAUGACCUCUGUUAAUUAGUCAUGAUGAUAUUUACAAACACAAGCAUAGAAAAACAACACAAAAAUCAAAGUAAAUGUAGGCACACAAUAAUUGGAGUAUUUGUUUUAAACUUAUUGUCAUGUUUUUCCCUAAAAGAUACAAUAAAGUAACAUUUUUUUAAUAUAAAAUUUAUUUAUUUAUCGUUUAUUUUAAGCAUCCAUUAAAUGACCUAAUAUAUAAAGUAUAUAAUUUAUAUAUUGAGCAUAUAAUGUCAAUAUUAGAAUAUAUAAAUGAUAAUUUUUUUAUGAAUUAAAGAUUGUUCACAGUAAUUAUUAAAAUAGAUAUUUCGUUGUGUAAUUCUAUAUCUUUUCUAUUUUUUUUUAUGAUGAUUUUAUCUUGAUCGCGGAAGUAGAGAUUCCAAGUUAAUUCAAUGCCAAUAUAAUGGUUAUAUAAAUGAUUCCAACAAUGAGACCUAACGAUCAUUUCCUUUGACAUCCUUAUGAAAAAAACCUCUAUUCCAAUCUGAAAUAUUUAAAAGCUAAAGUUUUCAUAAAAUGUACAGUGAGGACCAUUAUCUAAUAAAUCAUGUUCAUACAUACAAAUACAAGCAGAGAAAAACAAAAUAAAUAAAUAAAUGUGAGCACACAAUAGUUGAAGUAUUUAUUUUAAACUUAUUGUUAUGUUAGUCCCUAAAGGCAUGCAAUAAAGUAACAUUUUUUCAAUAUAAUAAAAUUUAUUUAUUCAUUGUUUAUUUUAAACAUACAUUAUAAAUGUGGACCAUUAACGAAUAAGUCAUGUUCAUGCUUACACAAGCAUGGAAAUAAAUAAAUGUGAGCACACAAUAAUUGGAGUAUUUAUUUUAAAUUUAUUGUUGUGUUGUCCCUAAAAGCAUGCAAUAAAAUAAUAUUUUUUAUUAUAAUAAUAUUUAUUUAUUCAUUAUUUAUUUUGAACAAACAUUAUUAGACCUAAUUUAUAAAGUAUGUAAUUUAUUUAUUGAGCAUAUAUUGUCAAUCUUGUAAGAUAUAAAUCACAAGUUCUUUAUGAAUAAAACAUUGUUCACAUGUCAUUAAUGAAAUGGACAUUUCAUCAUUUACGUAAUUUUGUAUCUUUUCUAUUUCUCUAGUGCCUAAUUUAUCUUGCUCACUGAAGUGAAGAUUUAAAGUAGAAAAGUUAGUUUGUUGUCAAUAUAAUGGUCAUAUAUAUGAUGCCAACAAUGAAACUUAACAAUCAUUCCCUUUAGCAUCCUUAUAGAAAACCUCAAUAAUAAACUGAAAGAUCUAGAAACUCAAGUGUUCAUAAAAUAUGGAGUGAGGACCAUUAACGAAUAAGUCGUGUUCACACUUACCAACUCAAGCAUAGAAGCACAAGCACAAAUAUUGAAAUAAAUGUGAGCACAGAUUAGAGAUCUAUGAGGACUUCUCUUUAAUAUCUGUAACCGCUGCUUGAAAUCGCUUUAGCGCUGCAACUAUUUGCUACUUUCUUGAAAUCCCAUCUUCAGUGGCACAUCAAUCUUCAAACCCGACUAAUCAUUGCAUCAUUUCAAACCAACUUAUGUAACCAAGAAGAGGAAGAUCAAUUCAAACCCGCUAACUAAUAUUAUGUUUGUGUCGAAUUGACAGGUCUUGUCACAAAUUUUCACCCGACAAGCUAGGGGCCUAUUUGAUAUAAGUAAAUAAAAUCUUUCUUUCCACAAGAAAUUGGGGUAAAAUCGAUUAUCCCGAUGUUAUUACCCCAAUUUAUAAAUCUUGAUUUUCAUAUUAAACCAUUCAAAGUACAUUUAAAAAAUAAAAUAAAGUAAAAUAAAACCAUACAUAGUACAAAAAGGAGGGAGAGUUUAUUGUUUAUUAUUAUUUUUGAAAUAAUUUAUUGAAGCCCACCUGCUUCUUUCUUUGUCAAGGAUUAGUUUAUUAUUUUGGGAUAAAUACUCAUGUAAUCCAUAUAUUUUGAGCUAAGUAUAUACAAAAAAUGUUUUAAGACAUCUUUACUGUUAAAUAUAUUUCACUUAUAUCUUUACUCUCUUUUAUUUUACAAUAAUAUCCUUAGAACAGUGUUAUUGGGGAUAUUAAUGAAAAUAAAAAAGUAAUUUAUCAAAUUAACCUUAAAUGUAAAAUAAGAAUUUGCAUAAAUUUUAUAAUUAUUAUUUUACUUUUAGAAUUAAUUUGGUAAAGUAAUUUUUUAUAAAAUAAUUAUGAAUAAGAUUGUUAUAAGGAUAUCAUACAUUACUUUUAAGUUGGCUAAUAUUAAGUUAUUUUUAAAUAAUUAUUAGUAAGUUUAUUGCACAAGUAUAAAAAAUACUAUUUCUUUGAUCACUACAAGGAAAAUGAAAUUUUAUAAUAAAACUUUUAGUUACUAAAGAUAAAAAAUUAUUCUCCUUAUAUUCUUUACGAUGCAAAAAUAAAUAUCAUAUGUCAAUCCCAAAAGUACGUCAAUUAGGUUCUAGCGACCAAAAUUAUUUUCAUCAUGUAAAUUGUAUAUUUUUGUGAUUUAACUGUUACCCCAAAUUUAAGUUAAAUGCAUCAUAAAUUGUAUUGAAAUUUGUCAAUUUAGAGGUUUAAAAAUGUCAUCAGUGACUCUAUAUCUUUGUCGUUGAAGUUUACGUAUUGCAACAAUAUAUUAUUGUCUCUAGUUAUUGUAAUUUGUGACAAUCUUUAUAGAUACAUUUCGUAAUUAAUUUAGUCUCAAGUUUGUUUUAAAACCAACGUAUUUUUUUAUUUCGCAACUAAUUACAUUGUAUUGAAAAAGUUUAGGUGACUAAUCUCUCUCAUCAUUAAAAGAAAGCAUUUACGAUUACAAUAUUUAGUCAUAUAAAUUAAAAUCUUAUGACAAAAAAAAUUGUAUCAAAAAAAUGUUAUUCUAUGACUAUUUAUUUGCUGCAAAGUAUUAGAGUAAUAUAAUCUCAUAUGAAUUUAUUUAUUAUUUCACGAUUUUUUAUAUCGUACUAAAAAAGUUCAAGUAAAUAGUUUUGCUCCUUGUGACAAGCCGUUAUUCGCAGCUGGAGCAUGUAGUCAUAAAUCCAACAAUUAAUGACAAAAGAACUUCAAGUGAAAAAUGUUAUUAACAUAAGUAUAAUUCAUCACAAAGAAAUCAAAAAUAUAAAAAGUAUAAAAAUCAAUAAUCUAAAAAUAACAUUCCAUUAUAAAAGAAAAACAAAACUAACAUUACACGGAGGAAAAUCGUUGCUGGUGUCAUGAACGCUUCAACUUCGUUAAGUUUGUUCUUGUUCCUUAGUUUGCUGAGACAUACUGCAGUAAAUGAUGACUUCGAACACUUGUCAUUUGCUUCACAAAAUUAAAGAAUUUUCCCAGAAUUGAAAAGUAAAAUCAUCUCUAACAAAGUUUGAAAAAUUUCUCCAAACUCACUAACUUGGCUUCAAUUUCCUUCACCGAUUAUAUUCUUUGUUUUUCUUCUAUUAGUUUCUCUUAGGUAUUUUAUCAACCAAUUGAUCUGCAUAAAAAUAUUAAAAGAAUGGAACAUAGAAUUUCGAUUCCUAAUUUCGCCAAACACCCAAAAAAAAAAAAAUCUGAAUUUCACUUAAUCUAAUCACAACUCUUAAUCUAAUCACAACUAAAGUAAUCAAAAUUAAAUUAACUGAGUUGAAAAUGCAUACCAUCUUCUCAUUGUUAUCAACCUGCACUUGGUGCAGGUCUGUUAAUCUCUAUAUACACAUAAGCCACUCACAGUCACUUGGUGAAUUUCUCAAAAAGCAAAUAUGGCAGUGAUACUCAAAGACAUUUUCCGAAUAACUGCUUCCAAAUUGGUGACCAAUAAGAUCCAAAUCUUCACAAAAAGAAGUAUCAAAACUGCUACUUCUGAUGUUCAAAUCAUUUCCAUCGAAGCAAUCAAAGCUUCAUCUCCUACACCGAAACAACUCAGAGCCUAUAAACUUUCAUUGCCUGCUCAAUUGUGUUCUAAACUUUACAUGCCCAUUGUUUCCUUCUACUCAGCCAAUUGCAAACACCAAGAUUUCCGGAAAAAUUCCGAUUUGUUGAAGCAAUCUCUCGCAAAAACGUUAACCCAUUGAUAGCUUUUUAGUCGACUGUAAUGAUCAUGGGGCUGCAUUUAUUGAAGCUAAUGUUGGCUGUCAUAUAUCAAAGUUUCUUCAACCGCCAGAUAGGGAGCUGCUACAACAAUUAAUCCCACCUUGUCCCCAAUUAUCGAAUUUAGAGAUUUCUGAAAGAGCACUUUUGGCUGUCCAAGUAAACUUGCUCAGCAGUGGUGAAAUGGCAAUUGGUGUUUUUUUCCGAGUGGAGUGGCCGAUGGUUCAGCAAUCUUCGACUUGAUGAAAACGUGGGGUGCUCGUGGGGUGAUUAAUGAUAAUGAUAAUAUUUGCAAUAACAAUUUAGUUUUAGAUUGCACCUUUGUUUCCACCGGUAAAGUUUUCGCAGCAGUAUCAAAUCCCAAGCCCACAAUCUUCCCGCAAUAUUGUGUUCGAAAGAUUAUUGUUUGAUGGCAAGAAGAUAGCACAUCUAAAGGAGAAGGUGAAUAAAGAAUUAGUGGGUAAUAAUUUUGAUGACGGGUUACAAGCAACGGGUUUCGGGGUUGUUUCAGCACUUACUUGGGGUGCCUUCAUUGCUGUAGCUCGUGAAAGAAAGAGGGAAAUUGAUAAGAAGUUGUAUUAUUAUGCAGUGUAUUAUACUAUGAAUUUGCGUAACAAGAUGAAUCCACCAAUAUUUAGUACAAGAAGUGGUAAAACCAAAGAGAAGGGGAAGAGAUGUGAUGAAUAGUAUUGAGUAUUUAGGUUUCAUUAAGGAUUUGUAUGAAGCAUGGGAAGAUUCAAGGUCAUUUCCUUUAAUAGUGUGGUUGGAUUGCCUUAUUAUGAAGUUGAUUUUGGUUGGGGGAAGCCUGUUUGGUUUAGUCUCGGGCCCUUAUCGUUUCCUGAUCUUGCUAUUUUGACAAACUCAAGUGACGGUGAAGGAAUAGAAUCAUAGGCGGUAAUGUCUAAGGAGGACACGGACAAAUUUGAACCAGAAACUAGCAUCAUGGCUUAUGCUUCCCCUAACCCCAGCAUAUUUAUAAGGAAAUAGGCAGCUAAUUGUCUUUCUCUUGCUUUGAAUAAAAAGAAUUGUCUUCUAAUUAGAAUAAUAAUAUGCUUACAAAAUUGAGAUUAUUGUACAAUGACUGUAUCUUAUUAUUAUCAUACUUCUUUUUAAAUAAAAUCAUGUUAUGUAUGCACACUUUUGAUCAAUGAAAAACCAACAGUCAUAUGAUAUACGGGGAAGACUGGAGGAGGAGAAGAAAAGGUGAAAAAAAAAAUGUACAUAAUGCCUUUUGUUUUUAAUCAUAUGUUUUGGUACCAAGGCACAACUAUUGUAUCAUAUUUUGCCAUCAAAUUUUAUUAAAAAAUCCACGUAAAUAGUUGUGUUGGACAAGUAUAUAUAUAUAUAAAAUGUAAGUUAAUUCUGAAUAUGCGAUAUAAAAUGUAUGUGAUGUCGUGUUGUCCGUGUUGCCAAUUAGAGGAAGUUUCAGCGGCCCAGGGAGGGACUUAUUAGGGUUUGGAGAUUUGAAUACAAUUUUGAAGAAGAAGAUCAGACGGAGACAAAAGGAUAGGAUGAAAAGAAAUUGGAGCUCCAUCUUGAAGAGGAGAAAUUGGGCCAUCGACUUCAAAACUUACUGUGAUAUAUGUAAGCUAAAUUGAUUUUAUUGAUCUCUUAUCACGUCUAUGGUAUUGACACACAUAAUAGAAUUUUACGCAUACAGAAUAUCUAAAGUUCUAAACUUUUCAAAAGGCAUUCAAAUGUACAAAUAAGAGAGUGAACUAACUAUAAUUUAAUAAAUAGCCUUUUCUUACUAUUAUAGGCUUUGACUAUACUAAACCCCCGAAAUUUAGUUUAAAAUCUUAUAAUGAUUUAAUAAUAAAAAGAAAAAUGAGUAUACAUUGUUGGGACCAUCUAAGGUCAUGCACGAGACCUUAUUACCAGACAUGAUCUAUUUAUCCAUCAUUUUCCAUUCUGAUUGGCUUUUGAAAAGUCCAAGAGUUUCAUAAUAUUAUCUUUCAAUUUUAGUUUAAAAGGUCCAAGAGUUUCAUAUCAUAAUCUUUCAAGUUUUAAUUUGAAAUCUACCGAUUAUGCUAUCAAAAUAAGUCAACUAAAAAAGUGCCAACAUUUUGAUGGCAUGUUCAAAUCGAACUAUUCUGGUUGAAAGUUUGAUGGUUCAAGCAGCACUCUCAUUGCGUUGUGCAUAUUAAAAAAUUUCUAAGGGAGAAAGAUAAUUAGAUAUGUUUCUCACAUGUACUACUUGGAUCCUAUUAUUUAAUUAUUCAUUACCGUCCUAAUGUUAUAACUGAGGAAAGAGGAUAGCAACACCCUCUUAGAUUGAAGAAAUGGUCACCGAGACCCUCUUCUUUUCAUAAAUGAUUAUGCAGAUCCAUUUUUAAGAUAUAUGCACUAUUUAGAAAUUGUCAUUCAAACCUUUUUUAGACACACAAACUCUUUUCUUUUUUUAUUUUCCUUUUUGGGUCUCUUUUUUUUUUUUUUUUCCUUUUUGGGUUUAAAAUAACCACGGAUUCGCAUAGAAUCUUAAGGUUUGUCAAGAAAGAAAAUUUGUGUGUCCCAAAAGUUAUCUAUGUAACCAUUUCUAAAAAUAUAAGAGUUUAUGUGACUAUUAGACCAAACUAUGAGAGUGUUGAUAUCCUUCUUCCAAAAUUUAAUAAACAAGAAAAAUAAGAUUUUUUAUUCUUUUUGUAUUAUAACCUUAUUGUCACUCAAAUAUAUAAUAUUCAUGGUAUUGAAUUUUAUGUCAUUUUUAUACUGACCUUAGUGUCACUAAAAUAUAAUAUGUAAGUCGAUGAUAUUGCUAUUGAUAUACAGAAGUUAACUAGCAUUGACUUUAAUUUAGUCGUCCCUAGUUUCAAGAGGAUGGCUUUGUCCAUGUUAACAACUCAUAUAUUUUAAGUGAGAGUUUUCAAAUUAAAAAGUUCAAAAGUUGCAUAUGUAAUUAAAAAACACUAGAGUUAUUUAAAAAAUAAUAUAAUAAAGGGUUCCAAACUUAAAAUCAUACAUGAUGAUAAGUUAUUCGCAAUUAAAUCUGCAUAUACAAUCUUUGUCUUUAGACCAACAAGAGUUUAGUCUAUUAGUACAUAGCGUUGUUAGAUAGAAUAAGGCUAUUGCUUGAGAGACUGAAGUGACAAGCAUUGACUUAAAUUCUAGUAAUAAAUCCUAACUAUGUACGUAGCAUUACUCAUAAUUAUGAAUUUCUUUAGUUUAUGUAUUUCAUCAAUUGAUUAUUCCGGGCAAACAAAUUAGUUUAAAAUACUUUAAUUCCUCUUACAAUAGUGAACAUAGUGUGCUUGAUUUUAUCUUUUUACAGCCAAUGCCAUAAAUGGAAUUCUCACUAAAAAAGGUUAGGUACAGAAAGAAGAUAAGCAUUUAAAAUUUAGAUUUUGAAAUAUCUGAAUAUUAGAUAUCAAAAUUAAUUAUCAUUAAUGGCAAUAUAUUAUUAAGCUGUAAUCCGAUGCAAACAACACCAUCUUAUUUUCUAUGAGCCAUGGGACAGAGCAAUGAACUUUGGCCAAAUGAACCAAUCACAUUAUUCCCAAUGAACAAUGUAAAUUAAUUAAAUAAUGUUAUAAAAUGCUAUUUACUUAUAGGUUUUGAAGGAAUGAGAAACCUCACCCUCUAAAUACCGAUCCUUCUUUUGUUAUUACUUGAACUUUUGUGACUGUCAAUGCAAAAUGUAUUAAAAACCGAUCCAGCUAUGCGUAAGAGGCUAAUUAGUCGUAUUCUUAAACUUACCUUGCGAAAUUUAUUUACUCAUUUUUAUUUUACUUGAAUCAAUUUGUAUGGUGUUCUACCAUACCUUCCGACGGAGCAUCGCCGCCAUAUCUUUUUCUCAAAUUUAAUUUAAUGGAGAAAAUCUGAGAAAUGGAAUCUUCAAAUCACAUAUUUAUGAUAUUACACUUUGAAAUUCAAUAUAAAAUCAAAUUCGUUGUCACCUAUUCUCUUCAGAAAGCAAAGAAAAAAUGCUCUUUACUUGCUCCAACUUUUCUCUAGAGUACUCGAAAUUCUAGCAAAAGAUUUACAAAAUAGAUAUGGUAUUACAACUGCUGUCGUUUGCUCUGCCAAAUUUUACAUUUAUCAGUAAGGAUAAGUGUGCAUUACUUAGAGCAAAAAAUACAUUGAUGUUUAAAAAACAUUCCAACGUUGAGAGAAGCAAUCAUUUAUUUGAGUACUCAUAAUACCAUCAACGGAUCAGCGAUUUACCAGACUUACAAGCUACAACCCAUGCUGUGGAAUCCCUCUAUGGGGUUGAUGCUUGGUUUCUUCUACCACGUUUCCUUUCAUGUAGUGACUUUUGUUUAAGCCUAUAGCUCACUACUGAAGUUUUGUAGGGCAAUGGUGCUCGAAUGCUGAAUGAUUCUCUUCAAUGAUGACCAUGCCCUUGGAAACGAUGGGUGGUUGAUGAGACUCCAAUGUUUUGAUUACAAAAGCUGCUCUAAUGGAAGCUUGCAUUGUCAUUUUACUUUUAAGUUGUGAGUUGAGUACUUGGCAGUAGUAUCAACAAGUACUUGUUUUGAAUAAAAGAGUUGUUAAUUGGUUAAUUAUAAUUCUUUUCUCUUGUUUAUCUGUGAUUUUUUUCUUUUAUAAAUUUUGCUCACCUUCUAACUUUUAAAUAAAAUAAAUUAAUUAAUUAACAUUUCACAAACAAAUUAUUCAAGAAUUCCCACUUUCGCAUAAUAUCAAGGGAACUUUAUUUUUUUUCCAAAAAAGGGAACUUUAUUUUUAAUUAACAUAGUAAGAAAUUGAUUUUUUAAAUCCUCUAUCUCACUAGAAUUUAUUCAUGACUGGUCAUUCAAAGAAAAUACUAAAAGAAAAAUAUAAUGACAAAAACAAAAAGAGUUAAUUGGUUAUUUAUUAAAUUGAGACCAAGCCCUUUCUGAAUAGUUAAUUUUGGAUCACUCCCCUCAUAAAUUGAUUAUCUUCAAAUCACCUCAUUUCUUUUGAAAAUCUCAAUUUAUUCUCCUUUUUAUGGUUAAAAAAAAAGGAUCAUCAAUUUAACCCCCUAUUUUUCUUUAUCUUUUGAACAAAAAUAGGAGUAACUUGAGGUUUUGAAAGUAAAUGAGUGAUUUGAAAUAAUUAAUUCACGAGGGGAAUAAUACAAAAUUUAUCCCCUGUGCGAAUGGAUUUAUGUUCGGGGUGGUGAUAUUUCCACCCCACAAAUUUUAUAAACUCAUCCCAUUUUCAAAAAAUUAUUACAGUAAGUUUACAUUAUUUUUAAAAAAAUCAAAUUAAGAAUAAAUUUAAAAAAAUUAAUUAAUUAAAUCCAUACUCAUUUUUUUAGACUAUUUUUCUAUUAUAUUUUAUCAAUAAAGUUAGUUGAUCAUAAAUUAAUAUAGCUAUUUUACCUCAUUGUGAAGGUACCAAAAUAUCUAAAAGUUUACUUCCAAUAAUUUCUUAUACAAUUUUUUUUUUAUAUUUUAAUGAUGUAAUAGUAAUUUAUCUAAUAUUUAUUUAUUUUUUAAAGAUUGUGGUUUUUUAUUAUAUUUGAUAAUAAGGCUGCUUUAACACAAAUUAAUAUGAUUAUUUUUAAAAAUGACAAAUGAAGGCAUAGGCCAGGCUUUUCCUAGCCCAGGCCCAGUCUUGCGUCCAUGUUAUUAAUAAGGGAGCCCCUAUAUUACAAUUAAUGUAACAUACACACUCAAUAACAACCACACAAAUAAUGGACCCACACAAUUUGUGUGGUUGUUGUUGAGUGUGUAUGUUACAUUAAUUGUAACAUAACAUUUGCCUAUUAAUAAUAAGUCCAAACCCUUUAAAAACUAUGAGUAGUUUGGUGGACCGGACUUGAGCCGGGCCUGGCUUCCACAAAUUUUUUAAAAAUAAAUUUUUAAUACAAAAAUGCAAAAACGUCUCAACUAAACAAAAGAUGAAUACACUUCAGCCCUUUUCGAGGUUGAUUUCAUUAGAUUCUUUAAUAACCGUCAUAAAAUGCAAAAGUUUGAUAUCUAUGGACCAAUGUUCGCCGUUCUUUGCCAAAAGAGCAGCCUGAAAAACUCGAUAAUCUACACUGAGUGGGUUCGAGCGGUUGGAGCUGAUUCGCACGGCUUCAAGUGGCUGGGUUCACGUCGAACUGGUGCUGGGUUCAAUGUUGGCUGCUGCUGCUGCUGCAGUGGCUUCGUGAAUCGUGGCGUUGUGCUGGCCGGGUUCGUUGGUGGCUGCUGCUAUGGUGACUUCGCGAGGCUGCUCGGUUCGCGAAUCGCUACUUCGCUGCUGCUGGUGUUGUUCGUGGCUGCUGGAUCCGGUGAUGAUUGGUCGUGUGGGUGCUGCUGCCGUGCUAGUUUUGAUCGGUUGGGUGAUGGCUGCUUGAGAGAUGUGUAGGAAGUGCACACUGCACAACAUUUAAUUUUCGAGAUGUUUCUUUUUUCUUUUUCUUUUUUUCUUUCUUUUGAGAAGAAAUGCAAAUUAUGAAGAAAUUUGUGCUUUUGGCGGCGAGUAUAGAGUUGCAAAUUCAGUAUUCCGAUUAGACAAAUCUCCAUCAAUCUAAAACUCAGACGAUGAUGGCUGCAAUUGUUGCGCGGCUCGUGGGCGUCAGGGAGUGAGGAUGCUUUUGAUUUUGUUAUUUUGUGUUUUCUUUUAUUUUUUUUUUCCAUUUAAAUUUAUAUAUUUUCUGCAAAGGCCCUAAACCAGGCCCAACAUUUAUGGGCUACAUUUUUUGGAGCCCAUAUCUGUGACUUUGUCAUGCGGGCUGAGCUUAAAGUCUGCGGGCUUGGGCUGGGUCAGUCCGGAUUUUUUUGUUAACCUUAAUUAUUUCACCCUUGUAAGAUAAAAGUAUCAAAACAUUUAAACAUUUACUUUAAUUAUUUUGAUAUAGUUUUUUUUAUAUGGAAUGAUGUAUAAUAAUAAUUUAUUAGUAUGAUUAUUAAUAUUUCACUAAAUUAACAAGAUACAAUAAGGACACGUGGAUUAUUGAAAAUGAUUAAAUUAUAUAUUAAAUAUGUUAAAUUAUAAAAUAUAAAACUAAAGUAAUUUGGUUAUUUUAUAUUAUAAGGGCACAAUAGUCAAAUUAUACUUAUUUUAAAGCAACCGUGAAUAGUUAAUGAUUGUUAAAAGACUAGGUCUGGAAAAAAAAAGUAUUAUAAGACUGAUUUAAUUGAUUAAUUUUUCAAACUUAUUAUCAAUUUGUAAUUCUAUAAAAUAAUGUGAAUUUAUUUUAGUUAUUUUAUGGAGGUGAGGUGGAUUUAUAAAAAUGGUGGGGUGGAAAUAUCCACAUCCUUAUAUUUGCAUAUUUUUACUCUUUUUUCCCUUAUUUCACAUCCCACUCGAUGCAUAAACACCAAUUAAAUCCUCUACGGGAUUGAUUUGACCUCUUGUUUUCAGUGCAAUAGCCAAACCAACUCUGCUUAUUCCCUAAAAGAUACAAAAGUUACUUUCUCACUAAUUGUUAUUGUUAUGAUAUUAAAAUAAAAAUAAUUAAUAAUAUAUAAGGCAAGACAAAUGAUGAUUUGCUUUUUGAAAGAAUUCACUUUGUGGGGUGGAAAAUUUUUUUUUUAAUUGUGUUUAUAUUUCAUCCCAAGUUCUGAUGGGUUUUGUCGCUAUGUUUUAGUUUUUCCUUUAGUGAAAUAAAGGAAAAACUAAAGUCUGAUUAUGUUCAUGCCAUAAAUUUGAUUAGUACAAAUGUUACAAACUUCCUCAAAUUCUCUCAAAAUGCAGACAUGGAUUUUUAGACUCAAAAUUGUGAAAAGUAUGUAGAAGUUGAAUGACACUAGGUUUGAAAUUAAAACAUGAUGGAUUAGGAGAAAAAAAUUAUGCAUGAUGUUGCUUCUAUUCUAGUAAGAUUCAUGAAAUCUCUAAGUGUCCUAGGUUGAUCAUGAAUAUUUUGUAGUGCUUGGUUAUCCCCUUGCACUGAAAAGUUAUCAACUUCGUUGUCUAUCAUGUCUAAGGGUAGUGAAGGUGAUCUUCUAAUUAAUCUGUCACCAUUAGUACGAGACCAACAUCUCAUACAAUGCUAAUGAUGUGUGAGUGUGUGUCAAAUUAAGUGAAGACAAUGAUGUACAAUCAAAUGAGUAAUGCAUGAAAUAUGAAAUAAAAAUUGCACAAAAUUAAAAAAUGUAAACAAACUAAAAAUUAAAUAAGCAACAAUAAGAAUCUACAAAAAUAAAAAUAAAAAAUAAAAUGAAAAUUAUUAAAAUAACUCAACAAGCGAUAUUGCAAAACUAAGAAUUUAAAUUAAUUAACUAAACAUAAAAUAAUAACACAUCCACAAAAUAACAAUGUAGGCGGUAUUAUAAAAUCAGUCAUUAAAAAAAUAAAAUUUUUUAAAAAAAGAAAUUAUAACGAGAAAUAGAAGGAUACACUUACCUCAAGAUGUAAAAUUGACUUUUAAAAAUUAUCAACCAAUUAAGCAAUCAAUUUAAAUUUAAUCCUUAAUUAUAUGUUUCAAAGUGGAAAAUCCAAGUCCAUUUAGUCCACAAUCUCUAAAAAGUUCAAGUUCAUUUAGCCCACAAUGUAAUAUACGCACUUGGACUUUCUUAAUAAAGUGCCGAUUUUUAUUUUCCUCUUCUCUAUUAAUUUUUAAUUUCGUCACUAUAGUUUAAUUGGGAUAAAUUGAGCUCGAUUACACGCGUCGAUGGCCGGAUUUUAUUUUUAUCACGGGUCCGAAUUGAGCUUAAUUUGUAUUAAGCUUAAAAAAAAAAAAGGGGGCAGAAAACCCAGUAACCCGCGGAUUAACCCGACGAUUUCUCCCAACUCCAGCCACUUUACCGGCCGUGCUUGGUACCGAUCUGAAGCUUGGAAGCAGACCGUCGUAUCCCUGCUGUUAUCGUCGCCGGAAACUGGCCAGAACGCCGGUGAUCGAGCUCGAAAAGUCGCGGCUUCGACCCGUUUUCGUUGCCGUUGAUCCCGCCGGAGUUGUGACGCGCCACCACUUGGAACUGGUUCCUCACAUCCCCAGCAACAUUUCCCGACCAGCAACGACCGCCGGGGACGCCCGGAACUCGCCGAAUGAUCUCCGAAAAUUUGCGGAACUUUGGAACUUCGAUCCGCCGCCGGUAGCGCGGCCACCACCGUUGGAUUCACCGAGGUCGGAACUAGCAGACCUAAGUUCCCCAUCGUCGUUGACUGAAGUCCGGUCACCGUUGACCGGCGAGGGGCAAUUCGGUAAAUUCAUGGACUUUUGGGGGUGAUUGUGUAAUUUUAUGUAAAUAAUGGACAUUUUGGUAAUGUUGGUUGAGGGCAGUGAAGUAAUUUGUGAUUUUAAGGGUAAUUCGGUGAUUUAACUCGUUAAGGACAUUUCGGUAAUUUUACGAACCGAGGGUAAUUUCGUAAUUUCGGACAAUGUGAUUAAUUUAUGUAAUCUGAAUUGAGGACAAUAUGGGUAUUAACGAAUAUGAGGAUAAUUUGGUAAAAUCAUGAAGUUUGAGGAUAAGUUGGUAAAAUAUUGAUGUUGGGGGUAUUUUGGCAAUUUUGGCCUAUAGGGGCAUUUUGGUAAUUUUAUACAUGCGGGACUAGUUUAUCGUUAAUAGAUAUUUGUUUCGAGAUUUAUUAUAUUAAUUGGUUUUUACGGAGAAUAAUUAUGGUGUUUUCCGUGAUUAGGAGGAUCCGCAUCCGCGAACGAGAAUCUACCCGCGGACGUUGUUGAUACUGAGUCUAGACAUCAUCACUGUGAGUGGAAUAUACAAAACCUAUUUUCAUAGUAUAUGCUGAUUUUCUUAUAUAGUACAGUAUGUUUGAGAAAUAAAUGUUUAAUGCGUUGAUUUAAUGAUUUUCCAGCGAAUUGACUUUUAUUUAUGUGUUGAUAUUUAUUAUGAUUGAGAAUGAGUUCGAUUUAUGAUUUUAUUAGCGUUUUUGAGUAAAAGCAUGAUAUUAGAAUUGAGCAGACUUGAGAUAUGUUGAAUAGAAAGAAAAUGAGAUUUCAGAUGGGAUCAUAUGUUUACUAUUAGUUUUGAAAUCAUUAGACAGUACCUUUCCCUCCAGAUACAGAGAUACAGAUAAAAAGAGAUACAGAUAAGAGAUACAGAUAAGAUGAGAUAGAGGCCUUUG
Molecule: long non-coding RNA, 77876 nt
Filed under: Citrus sinensis (sweet orange)
Lineage: Eukaryota; Viridiplantae; Streptophyta; Magnoliopsida; Sapindales; Rutaceae
Description: long non-coding RNA (CSIN_LNC000053)
Source: RNAcentral